UCCACAUGUUAAUAUUGAUCCAGAUACACAAAUGAAUAUUUUCUUUGUUGGGCUUAAUCCUACAUCCAAAAGCCAUGUUAAUGCAUCAGCUGGGGGUUCAUUGUCAAAUAAAUCUGCAAGAGAAGCAUUUGAAUUAUUUGAUACAAUGGCUACAGAAUCUCAACAAUGGGCAGCAGAACAUUCACAGAAAAGGGGCAUUUUUGAGUUAUCAGCAGGUUCUCCUAAUAUGUCUGCACAAAUGGAAAAAAUGGAGAAGAAAAUUGAUGCCAAGUUUGAUAUUAUUCUACAAUAGAUAGCAAAUUCUACACAGCAGCAGCCACCUGCAGCAACAAUUUGCACUAUCUGCAGCAUGGCUACACACAACAUAUUGGGCUGUCCACAUAAAGACUCUUACCCAGAGCUUGUGGAGCAACAUGUUAAUAUGAUGAACAUCUAUCAAAGGCCUAGGAAUGAUGCAUAUGCAACUCAUUACAAUCCAGGAUGGAGGGAUCAUCCUAAUUUCAGAUGGGGUGAUAAUUAGAAUAAUUCAAAACCAUUCCAGCAUGUACAAAAACCUUUUGUGCCAUCAAAACCAUCCUUGGAAGAUCAACUUUCUAAACUGGCAGCUACAACACAAACAUUCAUGGAAGGCAGCAAUCAAAGAAUUCAAAAUGUUGAAACAUCAAUUAAAAGUUUGGAGCAACAAUUUGGGCAGCUAGCUGCACAGAUUUCAGACAGAGAAAAAGGAAAAUUUCCUAGUCAAACAGUGCCUAAUCCAAGAGGACAUGAAGACUGCAAUGUUGUUCGGACUUUACGGUGUGGAAAAAGUUAUGAUAAUCGUGCAAUUUGUAGUGAACAGAAUCUGCCUGCAGUGCCAAUUACUGCAGAAUCUGAAAUGCCAGUAGCAGAACCUGACAAAUCUGCAGAAAAACAGAAUCUACACAGUACAGAAACAGUCCCAAAACAGAUUUCCCAGCGUGUUUAUGACCCUCCACUGCCUUACCCUGAACGUGUAAUUCCUAAAGCAAGAGAUCAGCAACUCAAAGAUUUUAUGCAGACAUUAUCCAAGGUUCAAAUCAACAUUCCAUUGCUGGAUGCAAUCAAGAAAAUACCAUCAUAUGCCAAAUUUCUAAAAGAGGUUUGCAGCAGCAAAAAGAAGCUUGCAGAUUUGGACAAAGUUGUUUUGACAGAACAGUGCAGUGCAGUUUUCCUACAAACUACCACCUAAAAAAAAAGAUCCAGGGAGUUUUAAUAUUUCUUGUACUAUUGGAAAUUCUGAUUUUAAAAGUGCUUUAAUUGAUUUGGGUGCUAGUAUUAAUUUGAUGCAUUUUUCUAUUUUUCAAUGAUUGGGACAAGGAGAUUUAAAGCCUACAUCAAUUAUACUUCAACUAGCUGACCGUUCAAUUACUUAUCCGAGAGGUGUUAUUGAAGAUCUUAUUAUUAAGGUUGACAAUCUUUAUCUCCCGGCGGAUUUUGUGGUUUUAGACAUGGAUGAGGACCUUCAAACACCUAUCAUUUUGGGGAGGCUGUUUAUGGCAACAGCUAGGACUUUAAUUGAUAUGGAAACUGGAACACUAACUUUACGAGUUCAAGACCAGUCUGUGGUAUUUAAUUUGUUUGAGGCAACAAAACGUCCUGCUGAACAGCAAGAUUGUAUGCACAUUGAUGUGUUAGACAGUAUGGUUCAAGAUAAUUUUUAUGCCCGUUCAAAUACAGAUCAGUUGCUGCACGUUUUACAAGGGGAAAUUGGGACAGAUUCUGCAGAUGAAGGUGUUCUUGAGUACAUUCACGCAUUAGACAGUCUGUCCACACAAUUCCCAAGGUUUAGAAAUGUUUACGAGAGCUUAGGGGAGCCAAAACAGCCCCUUAAGCCGUCCAGACAACAGCCACCAAAAUUGGAGCUGAAGCCCUUACCAGAACAUUUAAAAUAUGCACAUUUAUGGGCUGCAGAAACGCUGCCAGUUAUAGUUGCAACUGAUUUAACUCCCACAGAGGAAGAUAAAUUGCUUCGUGUUUUGAGGAAAUAUCAAGAUGCACUAGGAUGGACAAUUGCCGACAUCAAGGGUAUUAGCCCAGCAAUCUGUAUGCACAGAAUUUUAAUGGAAGACGACGUAAAGCCAACAGUUGAUGCUCAACGCCGCCUUAACCCAAUUAUGAAAGAGGUGGUCAGAACAGAGGUUAUGAAAUUACUUAAUACAGGUAUGAUUUAUCCUAUUUCAGACAGUAAAUGGGUGAGUCCUACACAGGUUGUUCCUAAACGUACUGGCAUGACAGUAGUUAAAAAUGACAACAAUGAGCUUAUUCAUAUGCGCUUAACUACAGGCUGGCGUAUGUGUGUGGAUUAUAGGAAGCCAAAUGCAGGUACACGAAAAGACCAUUUUCCUUUACCGUUUACUGACCAAAUGUUAGAAAGAUUGGCUGGCAGGGCUUUUUAUUGUUUCUUGGAUGGCUAUUCUGGGUACAAUCAGAUUCCAAUUGCACCAGAGGAUCAAGAGAAGACAACAUUUACAUGCCCAUUUGGGACAUUUGCCUAUCGGAGGAUGCCAUUUGGAUUAUGCAAUGCACCCGCCACUUUUCAGCGUUGUAUGAUGAGUAUCUUUUCUGGCUUGGUUGAAAGAAUUAUGGAAGUUUUUAUGGAUGAUUUUUUUGUGUUUGGAGAUUCAUUUGAUCAGUGCCUACAUAAUUUGUCAUUAAUUCUUGAGAGAUGUCAAGAAACAAAUUUAGUGCUGAAUUGGGAAAAGUGUCAUUUUAUGGUGAAACAGGGAAUUGUUUUAGGUCAUUCAAUUUCUAGCAAAGGAAUUGAAGUUGACAAAGCUAAAAUUGAUGUGAUUGCAAGGUUGCCACCCCCUACAUCAGUAAAAGGUGUUAGAUCGUUUUUGGGACAUGCAGGAUUUUAUCGUCGGUUCAUCAAGGAUUUCUCCAAGAUCAGCCGACCUUUGUGCAAUUUAUUGGCUAAAGAUGCACCAUUUAAUUUCGAUGAGGCUUGCUUAGAAGCGUUCAACAAGUUGAAAUCACUCCUAACCUCGGCACCCAUCAUUGCUGCACCAGAUUGGGGUUUACCAUUUGAAUUAAUGUGUGAUGCUUCUGAUUAUGCUAUUGGGGCAGUUUUAGGACAACGGAAAGACAAGCUUCCGCAUGUCAUUUAUUAUGCAAGUCGUACACUCAAUGAUGCACAACUUAACUAUGCUACCACAGAGAAAGAAUUGUUGGCAGUUGUGUUUGCCUUAGAGAAGUUUCGGUUUUAUUUGGUUGGGGCUAAGAUAAUUGUUUAUACUGAUCAUGCUGCAUUAAAAUACUUGUUGUCUAAAAAGGAUGCAAAGCCUAGGUUGUUUCGAUGGGUUCUUUUACUCCAAGAAUUUGACUUAGAGAUUAAAGACAAGAAAGGCAGUGAAAAUGUGGUGGCUGACCAUUUAUCCAGAUUAAUUAUUCCAGCAGCUAAGGAGGCAGAGUCUCUACCAUUGAGUGAGAGUUUUCCAGAUGAGCAGCUCUUUGCUGCCCAAAUUAAUACACCCUGAUUUGUUGAUCUUGUUAAUUAUUUGGCUACCGGUGUUGUGCAUCCCGAUUUUUCAUUUCAGCAGAAAAAGAAGUUUUUUUUCUGAUGUCAAGCAUUAUUUCUGGGAUGAACCAUACUUAUAUAAGUAUUGUCCCGACCAGAUUAUUCGUAGGUGCAUUCCUGAGGUUGAACAAGAUAGUGUUUUGCAUUUUGCUCAUCAGUAUGCAUGUGGGGGCCAUUUUGGACAGAAAAGAACAGCAGAGAAAAUUCUGCAAAGUGGGUUGUUUUGGCCUACAUUAUUUAAAGAUGCAAAUAAUUGGUGCAGAGCUUGUGACAGUUGUCAAAGAGUUGGCAACCAAUCCAAGAGUAAUGAGAUGCCCCAGCAAAGUAUUCUAAUUGUUGAGUUAUUUGAUGUUUGGGGUAUUGAUUUCAUGGGACCAUUCCCAUCAUCUCACGGGAAUCAGUACAUUUUAGUUGCUGUGGAAUAUGUUUCUAAAUGGGUCGAGGCCAUUGCAACACCAACUAAUCAAGGAUCAGUGGUACUGAAAUUCCUCCAGGGGGUUAUAUUUCCACGUUUUGGAAUUCCACGUGUGAUUCUUAGUGAUGGGGGGAAGCAUUUUAUUAAUAAACAGUUUGAUGCUUUAUUAGCAAAGUAUGGGAUUACUCAUCGCAUGGCUACACCCUAUCAUCCACAGACAUCUGGUCAAGUGGAAGUUUCAAACAGAGAAUUAAAGCGAAUUUUGGAGAAAACAGUUGGCUCUACACGUAAGGAUUGGAGUUUAAAAUUAAAUGACGCGCUGUGGGCUUACAGGACAACUUUUAAAACCCCAAUUGGGAUGUCACCAUUUAGACUUGUGUAUGGGAAAGCAUGUCAUUUACCUAUGGAACUAGAGCACAAGGCGUUUUGGGCCAUUAAGGAGCUAAAUUUUGCAUAUGAUUCAGCUGGGGAGAAGCGUAAGUUGGAGCUCAAUGAGCUCUAUGAGAUUCGUAAUGAUGCAUAUGAAAGUUCAAAAGUCUACAAAGACAAGACUAAGGCAUUUCAUGACAGUAAAAUCCUUCGCAGGGAAUUUUACACAGGGAAAAAGGUGUUGUUUUUCAAUUCCAGAUUAAAGUUGUUUCCAGGCAAACUUAAGUCACGUUGGACAGGGCCAUAUGUGGUCACUAAAGUUUAUUCGCAUAGGGCUGUGGAGAUAAAAAAUGAGGUCACAGGUCAUGAAUUCAAGGUCAAUGGUCACAGGCUCAAACCAUACUUGGAAUCACCCUAUGACACAGCACGCGAGUCAUUAACUCUGAGGGAUCCAGCGACUUAGCCACCAGAUUUCUGUAACGUCUAGCUACAGACCUUAAAUAAAGCGCUUAUUGGGAGGCAACCCAACUUUCUAACUUUUUCUUUACUUUGUUACGUUUUUCUUUCAUUACUUUCAAUUUCUAGCUGCAUUUAAAUUCCUAGCCUGCAUUUCCUGUUCCUAAAAAAAAAUACAAUAAAUAAGAAAACAAACUCCAUAAAAAAAAACAAACAAAACAUUCUUUGCUUUUACUUGUUUUAUUUUACCGAUAGUAUCUUCUACAUUUUUAUCUCUGAUUUCAACACUUGAUUUUUAUGUAGCCAGCAAACAAGACAAACAAAACUUAAUGCACAGAGAGAUCAUUUUAGACGGAAUCAUGCAUCCAGUAGCAGAUCUGUCAUACACAAGCAGGGAUGUGAUGUUAUACCUCUCUCUUUUGCUAAGCGGCCAUUCUUCAAUGUAAGCUCAUGGUUUUGUCAUCACGUUUCCUUUGCCGAUCUGGGGUAUUUUCCCUGCAAUAGAACAAUCAAGUGUAUGAGUUCCAGUGGAAACAGGUGUAUCAAUUUGGGGGUCAUCAUUGGUGGAGAAAUUUUUUUUUACCUCUACAUGCCUCAGGUCCGCAAUGUCACCUCUGUUGCUGUGUCCUUGUUGCUGUCCCGCAUCCAGCUCAAGCACCUUUGUGUCAGUUAUAUUUUUCCGUUUUUAAGUUAAUAUUCAUAGAUUAUUUUAAACGUUAGAACAAAUGGACAUGGUAAAGAUUAAUCCCACAGUAGAGUCUUUUCUAUUUAUCGUUACUUAGACACCAAUUCACGAAUUAUACUUUGACAAUUGCACAUCACACCAACAGGGUUUAUGGGGAGUGAGAUUGAAACACUUGCUUUUGUCCAAGUGUAUUUUUAUUUUUGUUCUAAAUAAAGUAAAGUUAGUAUGUGUUAUAAAGUAAUAAUUGUCUCACUCGAGGUUCUGCCUAGUAAUCGGGCCAGUCCUGCCUAAUCAGUAGUGAUUCUCGCGUCAAACGGUAGAAUUUUGGCAUGAGGCAGGGUGGUUAGUUGGUUUCGUAGCCUUUUCUGCUCGGGUGGGGUGUUCCACACCUAAUGCCCUAAAGCCCUAGUGGUUUGGGAGUCAUUGACCUAAAGCUCGCUACAUGGGUUGGAUCGAAAGCUUAAGUGAAUCGACAUUGCACGACCACUACUGUUACUUCAAAAAAAAAAAAAAAAAGAGAAAAAAAAAAUCUAUGCGAAGUUAGUGUGUGAAGUAUGAAUAAAGGGAUGAGAGGUAAGAGUUUUGGUCGAGUCUCUUUAACUAUGUUGGUUCACUUUACACCAAAGGAAGUUUGUGAAUUCUUUUCUAAUUGAUUCUAAAUGGCUUAGACUCUGUGGUGGGAUUGGUUGGAACUUUUGAAAAGAUGUUCCGAUUUUUAACAUUUUCUAUGGAUUCCAACUUGAAAGUGAGAAUUUUGUUUUAGCUAAGUUUUAGUUAAGUGUCAAGUUUGUUAGUUUUUAUUUUUGUUUUCUAGUCUUGUUUUGCUUGAGGACAAGCAAAAAGCUAAGUUUGGGGGUAUUUUGAUAAGUGAAUUUUAUAUUAUAUAUUUAACCCUAUUCUUAGUAUAUUUUGGUUAAUAUUUUGGAAGAAUUUUGAUAAUUUGAAUUGUAUUUUCAAUAUAGGACUUUCGACUUCCUCUGGAGCAAAACGUGGUCAAAUGGACGAAUUUUGGAGUAAUUCCAGUUAGAAGACGUUUGUGAGUCACUUAGCUUGGUCGUAUCAAAAUUUGGGAUUUUUUCAUCAAACAGUUAUUUUCUGGCGAUAAAAUAAAGGAGCGAUGCGCGGUGUUGGAAAAUGACGUUUCUGGGCUUAAAUUGCAUUUUUGGAGCCCAAGAUGACCUCGGAUGGUUUCGUGGCCUUCUGGAGAUGUGUUCGGAAGGUCCUUAUCUUUAAAACAAGAUAUCUUGGGCCGGAUUUGGAGGAGAUCUGAGGCUAAAACGUGGCUGGACAAGUACUUGGCAGAUUCUCCUAGUUUAAUUAGGGUUUUAUUUUCUAAGAUAUUUUAUUAUUUUUCUUAGUUUCCUAGUUGGAAUAAAAAACCUAUGUCUUAGGGUUUGUGGGGGCUGAGCAAAUAUAUUGCUUUGGCCGUCUACAAUUUUUCUCUACGCUUAUUAUUAUUCAACUUCAGAGACAAAGAACUUGGCUAGGGUUCUUUGAGAUUUUCUACUUUAAGGUGUUUUCAUCCCUUUUCUUUGUAAUAAUAUUUUCUAUGAUUUCAAUUAUGAAUAUGCAUAACUAAUUCCGUUUGCUAGGGCGAAACCUUGAGCCUUAGCAUGAAUAUGUAAUUUUUAUUUAAUUGCUUAUGAUUGAUUGCAUGCGCACUUUGAAUUAUUGAUCACUGUUUUAAACUAUCUAAUUAUCUUGAUGAUUGGCCACCAUUAGGAUUUAGACAAGUAAUUGGAUGCAAUUCGGUCGGAAUAUCACCGGAGGAUUAAGUAUUGCUUCUUGUGAUUAAUAAUUGUAAUUCCAUCUAAGGCGAAUAUCACAUUCUUAGGGGUUGCAUGGUUCUUCAAAAGGUUUUCAUAAAACUUAAUGAGUCUUGCAUGUUCAUAUUUGAUCUGAAUAUCACUGAUGGAUUGCAUGUUAGAUAUACGUUCUUACUUGAAUAUCACGAGGAGAAUAUAUAUUAGGAAAACCUAACCUUCGAAGUAGCAUCUGUAAAUCGUAAGUAAUUGGUAGAAAUUCAUAGGAUUGCUAGGUGAUGGUGGAACCCUAGUGCCUUUAUAAAUUGGUAUUUAAAACUCUUUUCUUCGAUUAUUUUAGUUUUUGUUUAAAAUUCGUUUUUUAAUAUUACCCAUUCUCAAACUCUCUUUUCUCAAGUUUUAAUUCUAAGUAUUUAAUUAGGAAUUGUUUCUACACAAAUUAUCCAAAUAGUCCUUGAGGAAAACGACCUUGCAUGAGUAUCUAUACUACAAUAUCCUUGUAUUCUUGCAAGUAUUUCAUGUGAUUUUGACCCUAUUUGCAUUGACGUUAAAAAUCCUAUCAUUAGGUGAGCUGAGCAGACGAGAGAGAGCAGAGGCCUUGGGAUUCUCACCUCUCAGCCAUUUCCAUUCCCACUGCGUCUCAAAUGAACCCAGAACUCACAUCUCUUGCAACCUCCAUCGUGUUCUCUCGAGGUACGACUCAAAUAGGUUGGGGACUUGGAAGAUUUGCAAUUACAGCAAAACCUAAACUAACUCUCUUCCUUCGUGAUUCCAAAAAAAAGUAACAAUUGGAUUUAAGUUUUUAUAUUAUUGAAAGGAUGUUGAUUGUUUUCUGCCAGAGAGAUUUCAAGCCUCUUCCGUUGAUUUUCUAGGGAUUGACUUCGAAUUGCUUCCAUUUUGUCAUUGGAAAAUAGGAUAAAGAAGAUGUAGUUUUUUUUUUUAAUUCUUGUCUUACUUUUGUUAUUAAUUAAUAGUUUUUUAAUUUGUUUUUAUCCAUAUAGUGCAAAGUUGGUAACCACGUCAGCACAAAUAUAGACUUAUUUGUCGCGUCAUUAUUUAACGGAAAACUUAACAGAUUGUCUAACGGAUGUAUGAAAUUGAAAUAAAAUAAUAAUUAAUGUAUGAGAUUGAAAUGAUUUAAAGAUGUUGUAUGAGAUUGCAACUGACCCCAAACCUAAGGUGGUAAAAUGUAAUUUACCCUAAAAUAAAAGAAAAAACUACUCUACUCUACUGUUGGUGGUUCGGGUUUUUGCUGCAGUUCAGCCUCACGUUCAGCAUCAAACUUCCACUCUCGGAAAUAGAAUGUGAAUAUGUUGUUGAUGCACUUCAUCAGAUUUAGGUCACUUUUGUCAAUGUCCCAGUUAGAUUGUUAUGCAAAAAUUAUUAAAUGAUAAAUAAAUCUAUUAUAUUAUAUUUAACGAAUAUAAUUAUUAUUUAACUAAUUAAUUAGCAUGUACUUCUAACUCUUGAAUCAAGUGCGUCUUUAUCUCCUCGAGGCCAGCUCUCCAAGACUCCCAAUCUACACCAAAUUUGUGACGCACUAAUACCUCAACAUCGCACCUAAAUCUGGCGUGCAUAUCUGACUUCUCCACUCCAUUUAAUUUUUCAGCAGUGAUUCGGUAGCGACUCCCACUAAAAAUGCAUCGGACCCGUGGCAUAGCUCCCUUCUUUUUCUUGUCUACGAACAAAAUAUAAUUUAAAUAGUCGAGCUAAAUAUUUAAUUUAUACAACACGCAAAAUUUAGUGCGUGUUACCUUUUCCGGAGCCUUCGCCCUCGCUUCUCUUUGACGAACGAGCACCAAAUUCGAUCAUCGUACUUAAAUUCAAACAACAAUUGAAAUAAUAAUCCGAAACAAGUCAAUCAUUUUUUUAAAUGAAUUGUGAAGAAUAAGGACAACGAAACCUUAAUUAUAUAGCAAGUUUGGGGAUCUUGCGAUGACAUCUUCAUCGCGCAUAACCCUACAAUAAAUAUUCUCUAACUAAAAGGUUGACCGUCUAUCAUAAAUGUUUACCCUUGUGCAACGAAGCUUUGUCGCGCACAAUUUUUGUGGGAAAUAUUUGGUCGCGCAUUUAUUUGGCCCCAAAUAUUGUCUUACCUAUGUUUUUCUGCCAAACUUUGUACGACGGGUUUCUUUCUUUGUCGUGCAAUGACUCUUUGCACGACAUCACUGUCCGUCGAGAUAGUUUUUUGGUACUUCAAUUAUAGUGUGGCGAAAUUGAGCAACGGUGUUUUGAUUUCAUCGCGCUAAACACCCUUGUGCUAGACCUGGCAUUCGUGUCUUGUUUUCCGUGUUUGUGUCAUUUUCACGACAUACCCGAUAUCUUAACAAGUCAUGUGGUGUAAGCCCCAUUAAAAUAAACAGGUAAUUUGACCAGACCCGGUACCCGUUAAGGAAAGUAUAUUUUAAAUCAGUAAAUAAUGAAAAUGAAAAACAUAAUUUAAGCCCAAAAAAAUUGAAAACAUAAUACUAAAUUUGUAGAUGUAUAUCGCAUUGUCAGAUAAAUAUUACUUCAAAACAUAAAAAAGAACAUUUGUUUUUAAGUAUUACACACCCCAGGAUAAGAGUUUAAUGAAAAACAUUAGUACGUUACUACAAAAGACCAAAGUUCACCCAAAAAAAAAAAAGACCAAAUGUUCAAGGAUAUGCAAAAUGAUAACAUAAAAACAACAUUAGUCUUUUAAGUAUUACAUACCCCAGAAUAAGAGUCUAAUGAAAAAACAUUAGUACUUUACUACAAAAGACCAAAUGGUCAAGGAUAUGCAAAUGCAAGGAGUUGCGUUUCAAGGUUGAGGAAACCUUGCACGUCUUUGACAAUAAAAACCUUCAAUUUUCAUCAAUCACCAAGGGAAAUGAUAUUGGUUUAUUUUGAACUCCCUUAAAAAUACUAUUCAUGAAAAAUACUAUUCAUGAGGCUUUGUAUGGUUUUAAUAAUUCAAAUGACGAUGUAACCAUCCUUAAAGCGUAAAGGAUGCGAUCACGAGCAUUUGCAUAUUUUUUCACAUUUUUCGCACUUGUAAGUUAAUUAUUAUUUUUUUAAUGUGUUUGGUAUUUUUAUAUUACUUGAUAUUUUUAUUUUUAAUGUGUUUUACGAUUUUUUAAUCUCACUUUUGCCUAUUGUAUACUAUAUUUUUAAAUUUAUAUAGAAUAACAGUACAUUAAUACAUAUUAUGAUAUACAAUAUAUACAUAUAGACUAUGCCUAUUGUAUUUUAUAGUAAGUUUUUUUUAGUAGUUUAAAAAAUUAGAAACAUCAAAAUAAAUUUUUUCUUAACGUGUCGAAACGGGUUACCUACGUCGCGUGUAAACCUAUUAAGGACCCGAUAACGACCCGAUUAGUUAUAGUGUCGACCCAAAACAUGUUAUUUUCAUGUCGUGUUAAAUGGUUGUGUGAGAUAUUGCGAGGUCUAGCUUGCGCGAUGAGUUUGUCUUUGUCACACAAAGUUCGGUCGCGCAAAUAGUUUUUUGUACUAGUGAUUCUAAUGUGCAUUGGAUAAUAUUAUUUAUGUGUUACUUAUCAGCAACAUCAUAUUAAUUUUAGACAUGAUCAACAUAAUAUUAAUCAAGGAGGGUUUUUUAUUUUUUUAUUUUUUUUCCAAGAAUAAAUGGAACUUCAUAUAUAUUCGAUCGGUUGGUCAGACGUAUAUGGCCACAAGCACAAAGUUAUCUAACGUUCAUGAUACGUCGGAUAGUGCUACCCUAAUAACAACAAUUUUGUGUGGACUCAACGAAAAUACUGACAAAAUAGAAAAAGCUUGCAACCAUUGCUUCUGCAGAAAUCGUCGUUUUUCCUUUGGAUUCUUCGAAGUAUGGCUAAUGUUCACCUGCUUUCGAGCUCUUACUACCAAGGACAAAUACAUACAAAAUCCUAGCAUAUAUACCAUAUAGUGACCGAUUCUUUAUAUCAAAUCUUGCAUAUAGAUACGCAGUCUUUGAGAUUUGUUAAUGCUUAAGGACAUGUUUGAUAAUCAUUCCCGCAUUAGUUUUUAAUUCUAACUGUAAGCUAAAAACUUGUUUAGUAAGAAUAAAAACUGAAACUUCAAAUUUGAAAGUUAUUUAUGUGGGUUUUCAAAAUUCAAAAUCAAUUUUGAUAAAACAGUUACAAGUAUUCAAAUUUUGGUUUUCUCUUUCAUUCACGAUGACGAGUUUCUCACCUAUAGUACAUCAUUACCGUGAUUAAUUUAUACGCAUCCAUAUGACAUAUUACCGUAAUACUUCGAAAUCAUCAUAAAAAUAAGGGCAUCAUUAGACUAGGUCAUCCUAAUUGAAGACAAAGGUUCAUCCAUGGAGAUUGUGAAAACCUUGCGUGUAAAUUUAGUUUGACCAUGACUAUCAAAAUUAAUAAGGCGCGACUAGAUGAAAUGAUUGUUGACAAUGCCAAAAAAAAUUACUAACCCCAAAAAAAUAUGUAAAUGAGCAAAAAAUCAAUUAAUCUUUCCAAACUGAAACUAAUAAUAAAAAACCUUUAUGGCCAAGAUAUCAUAUAGAAAGGGACCCUAGCUAGCAACUUAACAAUUAAUUCAUGUUGGAUGAGCUGCAUGCCAAAAGUCAGCCAUGGUAUCCUACCAUUUUUAAUACCUUUGAAGGAAAAGGAGAUGAUGAACAGUUUGGAAGGUUCUAGGAAAGAGGACUAAGCUGACAUUAAAAUUUUGUCCCUACAACCCCGUGUGUUCUGACCCAAUUGUUUUUUGUCAACGGUUUCCUUAUAUCCAUGGAACCAGUCCUCCGGAUUUAAAAAAACCGAAACCGGUUUCUCAAAACUUGCUACUGUACAUGUUUAGUUCUUCAUUUUUUUCCACUAUAUAUCCCUCGGAAACCUUCUCAUUAUUUCCAUCUUCAUUUCUUGUUGUUUAUUCCCACUAUAUUUCCUUGUUCAUUAUCAUUCUCCUUUUUGGAAAAGGACAGAGGUAAUUAUAUAAAAAACGCAACUCUUUUCUUUUCAAUUUUCCAUUUUACUAAUACGCAUCUCAAAUUCUAGAGCGUAUACGUCUUCCUCUCACAAUCACCUGCUUCCAAAUACGCAGUACAGGCGUUUUAACAUGAUUUUCCUUAAUGGUGCUUCUUUAAUUUCCAGGUUAGGUUUUGGAAUAUUUCUCAUGUCUCCAACGAUGGCAGUGUUGACAACUACCGAGAAUGGGGUAAGUGAUCAGUACCAAAAUGGCGUGAAGUGCUUGUAUGAGAAUGGUAUAAACAAACUUCCAAACAAGUACAUACUGCCCACUUUAGAACGACCUAACCGGAGUGAUGACCAGGAACCAAAAGUAUCCAACCAAAAUCUGAAGCUGCCCAUCAUCGAUUUCAAGGAACUGCAAGGUCCCAAUAGACCCCAAGUCAUUAAAUCUCUGGCUAAUGCUUGUGAACAAUAUGGCUUCUUUCAGGUGGGUCUUAUAGUACUAACUCUUAUGUAGGUACUUGGGCUAAUUAAGAAACGAUUACUUUCAGCUAAAAUGAGUUAUAACAUUAAGCGUAUCUAGCACACCAUGAGUUUAGCCAAGUUGGGUAGGGCAAUAUGCUCCAUUCUCUACAUGUACCCAAGUUCAAAGUUUCAUUCCCGAAGUUUAGAUAAAUAUAGUGUAAUUAUCUUAUCGUGGUGCAAAAAAUGUUAAGCAUGUUUAAAGCUUCAAAGUAAUGGGUAAUUGUGGUUUGAUGCAGUUGGUAAACCAUGGCAUUCCAAGUGAUAUUAUAAGCAGUAUGACCGACGUGAGCACUAGGUUUUUUGAGCUCCCUUUUGAGGAGAGAGCCAAGUACAUGUCCUCAGAUAUGCGUGCGCCUGUCCGAUAUGGGACUAGCUUUAACCAGAACAAAGAUAAGGUGUUUUAUUGGAGGGAUUUCUUGAAGCUAAUGUGCCAUCCCUUACCAGAUGUCCUUUCUCACUGGCCUUCGUCACCGGUGGACAUGAGGUGAGAGCUCAAGCUCAGUGUGUUUUUUCUGCAUAGGGAUAUGGCGGAAGUAAUUAACGUGAUCAAUCAUAUAAAUUUUUAGCCUUCGAGACACUCGUAAGUUUCGAUUAUGGUGUAUUUCAUUUAUUAAUUACAUAUUCUUGAUCGCAUCUCUUAAAAAAAGUCUAGACUUGCAUUCCAUUUGCAUUUUUGAGUCCUCGUGCAAAACACGUAUGCCGGAGAUUGGUCAAUUAAGCUACAAAUAGUUUUAUUGGUUGCUUUCAACUCUUCUCUCUUCCUAUGGGUAAGUGUGGACAUAAAGUAUUGAGUAAUAAACCAAUCACCAACUUUCAUGUCUUUUAGUUUUCAAAAUAUAGUCUCUAAAUUAAGUCUCCUUAGCAUUACUCUUAGGUAUAUGGUCAGAUAUAUUAUAAACACCUAGAAUCAGGAGCUGUACUUCCUCGUGAGACCACACAUAUAUAGUAGCUAACCCGUUAUCCUAUUCGAGCAAUUAGUUUAAUACUUAAUAAUUAAGAUUUUAAAAUGACAAGUAGGAAUCAUUUUCUUGUUCUUUUCACAUAUGCAUACAUGUCUUUUUUUAUUAAAAUUAAUUAAAUACUAAUUGGGUUUUACACAAUAGGAAACUGGCGGCUACCUACGCAGAGGAAAACAAAUACUUAUUCCUAAUGCUAAUGGAUGCCAUUUUUGAGAGCUUACGAAUUGUGGGAACCACAGAGAACACGACAGAAGAAGAUGAAAUGUUAAAGGACUUCAAAGAUGGGAGCCAGCUAAUGGUUGUCAAUUGCUACCCGCCAUGCCCCCAACCUGAUCUAACCCUAGGGAUGCCUCCCCACUCGGAUUAUGGGUUUCUCACAAUUCUUCUCCAAGAUGAAGUUGAAGGCCUUCAAAUUAAAAAACAAGAUAAAUGGAUCACCGUCGAACCAAUCCCCAAUUCUUUUGUGGUCAACGUUGGUGAUCACCUUGAGGUGAGUUUUAUUACUUAUAAUUAAGUAGCCACUUAAAAGUUUUUUACUACAUGCAUGAAUCACGUUGCUAAUCAUGUCUUCAACAAUGAAAGAACACGUUUAUGUAAAUGAUUAUAUGUCCUUUUUAUGUAAGAAAUAUGCUCAACAAUGUGAUCAAUAGAUAUAAUCGAAAAUUUUUAUCUUUCUCACUUGAACUGAAUCCACGUAAAGCUAUUAUAUGCAAGGUAAACUUAUUUCGUGAGAGAUGUAAUGUUAUCCAUAAACAUGUAGCACUAAAUUAUUAAAUUUUGUGUUGAAUUAUAUGCUAAUAUACCAUGUCAUUGACUUGGUUUUUCUGGUGUUAGAUAUUUAGCAAUGGAAAAUACAAGAGUGUUCUACAUAGAGUGUUGGUGAAUUCUUUAAAAGGUCGGAUUUCUGUGGCCUCUUUGCAUACUCUACCUUUCACGCGCUUGGUUGGACCGUCACCAAAACUUAUCAACGAAUCAAAUCCAAGGCGGUACAAGGACACUAAUUUUGCCAGCUUUCUGGAGUAUAUUUCAUCUCGUGAGCCUAAAUGGAAGAAUUUCCUCGAGUCUAGGAAGUUAUUGACCUAGUUGAAAGGGCAUGCAUGUUAUGCCUGGAACUUCCAAUGACUGGGAAAAUCUGCUCGUUGACCUUUUGCAGUUUCAGUUAUAAUUAUGUAGCAAUGUUUGGUUGAAAGUUUAAUUUUUUCUCUUUUUUUCUUUUGUUUUUGGGUGGGGUCCAGCAAAGGCUGAUUAUAAUCCAACCCUAGUGAGCACUACGUAGUUUAGUGCAUGACAACUUUCACAAAUGAGUUUAUCAAUUGUAUUGAUGGAUAUAUGAUGAUAUAUGAAGUUUCUACGAAUUAUACAAUUCCUUAGUUCUCGUUGUCACAUGACAUUCAUAGCGGUUGAUUUUUUUUGUUAUUAAAAAAAUUUUGGUGCAUGCAUUUGAGAUUUUACGACCAAAUUUUUACUCAUUUAUAAUGAAAAUAAAAGCUACUUAGUUACAUGAUAAAUAACACCGGAUUUAGCUGGCAUGUGUAAGAGUGUUUUCCUACUACUAUAGGAGUUCUGUAAGAACAGAAACAAGAAGAAUUACCUUUAAAACUUGAUCGAUCAAUUGCUUCACCAUCACGUAAUUGCUUCUUCAAGAAGUACGGGAAGACUUGAAGUGCUUUUCUAAUCACAAAUCUCUUAUGUUCUUCGCUUGGCAAAGCAAGAAUCCAACCAAGCAAGCAAGGCAUUAGUAUAGACUUUUUCUCUUGAAGUUACAAUAAACGGUGAACACACAUCAUUAUUUUUGUUUGUACAAAUUUCCGCGGAGGUUGAAUUGACAGAGAAACCUUGCACGACAAAUCCAAGAGACAAAUGGAGUUAUGACUAACACCGAUGUUGUGUUUGUCAAAGGGCCACUGAUGCCUAAUUCAUGAUAUAAUUCUAGGUUUGUAUUAGUGUGGCUAGAAAGAAAUGAACCUGAAAAAGAAAAAAGACGGAAACUUGGCUAGUUACAGGCAAACAAGGAGUAAACCCUAGCAUCCAUGUACGUUGAACCUUGGAGUAGUGGUACCUUGUCUGGAAACGGCCUUAAAGCAGACGACCUUAAUAUAUUAUCAGUCCGCUUAAUUGAUCCGUCAAAGGUAAAACAGUCAUAUUGAGCUAAUAUUAUACGCGGCAUGCUCUAAUAAGUCGAAAUAUUUAACGUUCCAACAAUUAUAUUCUUGCGUAUGCAUUGGCAAAGUCAAGUUAUAUUAUACGUUGACCAAAGUUUUUAAAUGAAUGUCUGGUCAGCAUUUUUUUAAAACACUUAAUAAGGUAGCGACCUUCUUACAUGCAAAUAAAAAAAAGGGACAAUUUUGAAGUUGCUGAGAAUAUAAAUAUUGAAGAAAUGGAACCUCUAUUGUCUUCAAAUAUAUUACUAGACACGAUGAGUGUAAAUUUUUAAGGCCAGUCGAAUUCCACUUGGCUCUUUUGUUGACCUAUCAUCUUUAUCAAACCUGUUUUUGAUUGAGCAUUGUUCCCAUCAAUUUUAACAUAUUGCUCGUCUUAGAAUUAUGAAAUACUUAGUAAUGAAAAAUGGAAGGAAUGCCACAUAUUUAUACCACAUUGUUAUAUCAUCACAUAUAACAAGUUACAUAUACAAUCGACAUCUAAUGAAAUAAAUUUAUUAAUUGAUGGAGCAUGUACACAUCAUUUAUCAUAUCAGAUGAUACCCACAUAAAAAUAUGAUCUCUCUAACAUUUUUUCUAAUAAUAUAUAGGUGAUUAAAGCAAUGAGCCGGGGUAUCAUAUUGCUAAUCACCUUAGUUGUUAUGACCUGAAGUGCCUUUGUUUAGGACGGAUCUCGUCUAUCUAAUAAGUCGAAUAAUCAAAUUGACACUCUCAAGUAGUUUUGCACAUCUUAAAUUUGUGUAAUUUUGUUUCCCUUGUGAUAUUUAACUUAUUUGGGGUAAUGUUUUCAAUAAAUGAAUCAAGGUUUGAUUUUACUCAUUCAACUGAUUUAUUUUUGGGUCCAUCAUUCAAUAGAAAUUGGAUUGUCUUCUGAACAAGACAAACUCUCAACAAAAUUGAAGCAGCCUGGGUCAAAUUCUGUGGGCUUGAAUUUCAGCGUAUAGAUGGCUUGCACCAAUGUUUCUAGACCGACAUAUUCUUGACUUGGGCAAAAAAUGGGAUUUCUUUGGUCUCUAUCCACAAGGUUGUCGUUGGUUGGAAAUGUAGCAAUCAAAACCAAGUAACCGAGUAACAAUAUUAGGUUAUGAUGAUGUCCCAGCUUCUUCUUUUUAAUAUGCUCCUAGUGGCGGUAAUAAUAUAACCUAUGAACUGGCUACCUUUUCUUUGAUAUAUAGCUAUCUCUCAUAUACUGCCAAGCUGAUGUAGAAGUUAUAUGGCUCAUCCAUAUGGAAGAAAAACCAUUAUUUAUGGCCGUCUCAUAUCCUACCAUGCUGAUGUAGAAAUCAUUUUCUAAUAAAUGAAUUCCGUUGAUACCAAAUUAGGUUGCCUAUUGUGUGGCUUAGUGGAACUCGUCCUCUCCCUAGUGUAAAAAUACGAUGUACUAAAAAAGUAAUAAUAAAAUAAAAAAUAAAUGAAUUAUGUUUUCAACCCAAAAACAAGAAAAAAUUUAAGGUGUUCUAGAGUAUAUGGUACUCUAGAUGUUUUAACAGUUGGAUCUUAAUUUUUAUAUUUUUAAAUGAGGAUCUAACAGUUAAAAACUCAAAGUACGCAAUACCCCAGAACACCCAAGAAAGUUUCCCAAAAUAAGUGUUUUGUGUUAGUACUUGUUGACCCUAAAAACUAUCAAGUAUAUGUGGCUCGCAUGCCGAGUAACUAAGAGCUAACUACAUCCUAGUGAAUGCAAUCGUGUCAACUCACGACCGACCUCGUCAACAAGUUAGAUAGAUGUGAUGGUGUCGAAUGCGCUUCUAACUUCUAAUCUGAGCGAUCAUGGCUAAGGAAGGAAUAUGUCUCCGCCUUGGGUUCUGGAACUUGAAGAUAAGGUUCCUAGUUCACAAUGAAGUUCAAAUAAAGGUUCGGCUUUCAAUGUGCUGAACACUUAAGUAACCUGAGUAACACUUCACUCCACUGAGAAGGCUAAUAAAGUGAUCUCUUUCAAAGACUCCUCACCAGCAUAGACUUCGAUAGAUAACCAGUCGAACUUGAAGUAAUUAUGUUAAUCCAAACUGAAGAUACUUCUUGAUCACCUGAUUCUUUGGUUCUAGUGUUGUUAAUCCAAGCUAAAGAUGUCACUGGUUGUUAAUACAACGCUUUUACUUCAAACUGAAGGUGUGUUGACAGAGAAGUUAGGGUAUUUAGUAAUUUCCAAAAGUAUGAGAAGGGUUCGUAUAGAGCGAGAUUUUGCGUAGGGUGUUUGUGCAUUGAGUUGAAGCUCAUUUCCACGUUGUAGAACCUUUUCUAUUUAUAGGUAUGAAUUACGUGAUGGCCAAGUCUACUGAUGGUUUAAUUCUAAUAAUUUCCAAUUCUUUGGCAUAUUCUCUAAAUAUACUCUGAAUUAUUCUCGGCAGAAACUCUAUAGCUGCCAAGUUUCACGGUCUUCGACUAGGACUUUGAAUUUAGAUUAAUUACGUAAUUGAUUCCUCCUUUAUCUGGAAACCAAUCUUGAUCAUUAAUAUUUAUCUUAUCUAAUAGCUUAAAGAAAAUGAGUUGAGUGCGUGCAAAAUCGGGUCCAUAUAGAACCCUGACAAGCACUAGACAUCAAAUGAUAAGAAAAACCUUAGCAAGCAAUCGUUGCCUUUGGAUUGGGAGUUAGUGGCAGUUUCUCUUGGUAUUUUCCUUCUCUUUCCCUCAAUAUUUCGUCUAUCUUCUGCCAUCUCUAUUCCUUGUUGUGUCACUCUUGUGCUAUUUGUUGAUGAGAGCCUUUGUAGCGAUUGUGGAGAUAUAAAUUAACCACGUCUAAUAGGAAAAGUGCAUAGGACAAUAUGCUCAAUAUUACAGUUUUACCCUUGACGUCGUAAGUAGACCACAAGUUUACUUUAAGGGAAUAAAACAUACUAUGCCCUAAUGUAAUGGGCUUUUAUGCCACUAACAGACCAUGGGCUUUUAGGGCCGCUCAUAGUAAGGGUUAUAGGUUAUCUGGGUCACCUAUAAUACGUUCAGCCAUCGGGCCAUAAUUGAUCUAAUGGUGGCAAUGCAAAGGUCUCUCUGGAGUCUCUUAUUGGGUAUUCGGUUCAUUUGCACUCUUACCAACAUGAUCUUUAGGAUUACUAGUUGGCAGGACUGCAAAGACUAGCCUAAAUCACUAAGGACUACCCUGUAUGCUCUGCAACCUCCCCUUCCAUCUGCCCUGCUAGGGUUUCUCUCUAUAAAUAGCUAGGUCAAACAGAGUAAACAUCACCACUUAUUAGUCAAAACACACUCAAGUUCUAUUUUUCUCUCAACUACUUUUUGGACUUAGGUAUCUCUUUGGCAGACACCCUCACCCCUUUUUUAUGGCCGUCCAUCAAUUAGGCUAACAAUGUUUUUCUCAUGUAGGUGAAAUUUGGUGCUUUCAUUGACUUGUAUCCACAAUUUGGUGUUUUAAUUGGUGCUUUCAUUGAAAGAAAAUUUGAGCUAUACUUAAUGUGUGCUCUAUUUGAGCAAAGUAAGUAAAACCCAAAAUCUUUCUUCAAAUUCCUUUAUUCAUCAUUUAUCAUCUUUAUUCAAAUUGAACAACCAUGGUGGAUACGAAAAGAACGGAAAGCAAUAACAACAACAGUCAAUCCUCACAAUCUGGGAUUGCCAUGGGUUCUCCGAGGCCCCAAAAUGUGAAUUCAAAACUUUCAUCGAUCACAUCCCUCGACGUACCUUUUAUCCAUAGUUAGAGCCAUUUUUGCAACAAAUUCGGAUUAUCAUGACUUUGUCAAGGCCCAGAUUGUCGUCGUGCCACGAUAUCGUGCCACAACCUUGAUCGCGAUGCCACAACAAAAACAGUAACAUCAAUGGUAACCAACAGUGCGGCCCCGCCAAAUUCAACCACUCUAUUCAAACAAUCACCUCCAGCUUGACAACCACCUGUUAAAGUGAUGCCGCUUGUUCAGCAACCAGUUACCGAGCGACACUACCCCAUUCCACGCAGACGAUCUAAUUGAAUAAAUUCUACGACCAGAGCCCGUUGAUUUAGAAACCCUAAUUUCAAUGGCCUUUAGCCUAUCAUUUUAACUUCAAAUUGCUUUACCCGUGGUGCAACAUGCAUUUGUUAGCAAACCUGAGCCAGAGCACACCACUGGGGAUUACCCACUCAAAUGCUUUUUCUUUACCAAUUGCAAACCUAAGGACAACGCUCAGUCAAUAGACGAAGAUCCUCAAUCAACUCAUUCCUCAUCCUAAUCUAGUUCUAGACCUUGAUCUUGGCUUGCCAAAUCAAAGGGAGUAUAAGCAGGGGUCGUAAUUAUGUAGAUAGCUAAGACAAGAAGUCAUAGACGUUACAGUUCACAUCCAUUUGCAGCAUAGCCAGGUGCUUGAAGACUAUCUAGCAGACAGGGAAAGAGCUUGCGAAUCAAGGAGUGAAGUAUCCAAGGGUGUUCAUUCUAGGUUGGGCCCCCAUUCCAAUGUGUCUUCCUGCUUAGGGUCGAGGGCUAGUAUUUAUACUCAACUCGAUCCCCAAGGAAGUUUCUCGUAAUUAAUAAGGCUCACAGAGAAGCAUUCAUUCCUUCCUUGAUUUUAGGGUUGUGCCUAAGGAAUCGGGUUAGCACACCAUCCAAGAGGUGGAGGAGCAUGACUGUUCAUUGGAAGCAAACUCCACCAAUUAUCCUGUCUAGCAGUUGCAAGAAGUCGAGCGUAGACCACCGAGAAAUCACAAACCACCGGAGCCGCAAGUAGGAGGACAACCUAUAUAACUCAAAGUCAUACAAUAGUUGCUCGACAAGCGACACAUAGACUUCAAGCUGAAAGAAAACUUGAAAGACACACUACACAGACAGGUGCCCACCAUGAAUGUUUCUCCAUUCACAAAUGAAAUCGAGCAUGCGCGACCUCCCCAGAGGUUCUCCACAUCAUCCUUCAUGAUGUUUAAGGAGGAGAUUCGAACCUAGACUGACAUCUAAAAUAUUAUGAAGUGUUGAGCCAUUUCACAAGUAGGUGACCACCGUAAAUGUUUCAUCAUUCAUAGAUGAGAAUGAGCAUGCGACCUCUCUAUAGGUUCUCCACAUCAUCCUUCAUAUUUUUUAAGAGAGACACAGGCGAAGCUAUAGAUGGAUAGAAAAGGGUAGCCGCCCCUCCCUUCGUCUUAAAUAAAGCCUAGGAGCGACGAAAUUCAAGCCUAGAAGUGAGAUUCCGCCCUCUGCUUACUGUUGAUGCUCUGUUGCCGAGCUACAAUGGCCUAUUAGCUUUGCAACUUCACAUAGGUAGUUGGCUGGAAAAACAUUAGGUUUGCAAGUUUGCAGCCAAGACGGCCUUUGCAAAAACGCUAAGAAAUUCGAAGAAACUGGAAGAAGACGGCCUUAUCUAACCUAAUUUGGUUUGAUUACAUGCAAUGUCAUUUUUCAAAAAAAAAAUAAAAUUAAGUGAAACGUCCGUAAUCCUUUGAUAACAUCCUAUUUUUUUUAUUUGGUCAUUUGAUAACACAUUCUUUCUUUCUUUUUUCUUAAAUAAUAUCCUAUUAUUUUAAAAAAGAAACUUUUGCAUAUUACGACCAAGUAUUACACUUACAGAUAACAUCCUUUUUUUUAUAACAUCCUAAUUUUUAGAAAAUAAUACUUACCAAGUAUCUUCAACCAACGCCUUCUCUCAUGUCAAAAUUUCAAUGCGAUUCGUAACAUGAAACAUCGUCGUCAACAAUUGUUACUUCCUUUUAUUGAUUAAUUAAGAUCGACAUUAAUAUUGUCUACUAUCUAAAAGGAUUUGGUUGUCUACAUUUUCUUAAAACCAUUUACCCUUCGAAAGUUCACCCUUCAUACCGACAAAUUCUAGCUUCGCCACUGAAGGGAGUUGUACCUAAAACUACAAAGUAUUAUGUCGAUUCACAGGCAAGACGAAUUCUUGAUGUGAAAUGUCUUUGCCAUGAAUUUGUAGGGAGCGUCACAUAAUUGGUUCCACACUUUGGCCCCAUAGUCUAUUGACAAUUUUGAGGAACUCGCUUUCGUCUUCACAAAGGAGUAUUUGUUCUAUCGAGUUAUCAAUAAGCUGUUUGAUCACCUCUUCAAUGUGGUCAAGAAGCAUGGCGAGUCUAUUGGGGAGUACAUUUAGCGCUUUAAGACUAAGAAGGCUAAGAUUAUUACUAAACAAUCACGUGGACAACUUUCAAGAGAUGACUGCCAAUAGACCAUCCUCUCCGUGAAGACAUUACCAUGACCUCAAAUCAGACCUUGGUUGAGGCUUUUGACUUACCAAAGCGUCACGCGCUUUGGGACGAUGAGAAACGGGCAACUAAGGUACUAGAUUCGACCAAGAAGUAGAACUUUCCAAGAAAGUGACGUCUUGCAACAGAUGAUGAUUCUUUAAAGAAUGACUAUCUACAAGCUGGAAGCAAAGAAGAUGUACAAAACUCUUCAUGGACAAGGUAAAGUAGCAGAUGAGGGAUGCAAACGCACCAAAGCUAUGAUGAUGAAGGUCAUCUUGGUCAAUUUGAUCCUAGCAAAGUCCAAGCACCUUGGCUUCACAUCCAAAGAGAAGAAAAAGAAGAUCCACCAAGUUACGACUGUGUUCUAGUCAAGGUUUUAAAAGAAGCUAGGCGCUAAUAGGGCGGCAGGCUAGGGUCUAGCGACUAGGCGGAGCCUAGGCGGGUUCCUAGGUGGAUUUAAGUAAAUCUACUAUAUUUCAUGUAAAUAAGUGUCUAUUUAUACUUAAAAUAUAUGUAAUAUCACCAAGACACACUUAUCAGCACCUAGAUUGCUCACAUGAAAAUAAAUUGUGUUCAUACAUAAGAAGGAAAUGCCGCCAAUAUCCUUCAACUCUCUGUCACCAAGAAACUUGGCAUAGAGAAGCUUAACAAAGAAGUCCAGUCUGCUAUCUAGUUUUAAUGACACCACCUCUACCACUAUUGGCAUGAUUGAGCUCGACGUCUACUCACCCCUUAUCGUCAGCUCCCAGAAGUUUGUAAUCAUUGAUGAACCAUUUGUUAGGGGUUAAAAAAACUUCACUACUUUGGAGAUGUUUAUCUCACAAAGGAGAAUGUACUGCAGCGGAAUUGAUAGACAAGAGAAAGAAAUAACACUCAAAGUAUUACACAUAAUUUUUAUUCUCACAUAAACUUAGUAUAAGAGGAAACACUCAAACACUCGCACACUUCUUCACUCUUUUUCUCACUUCUUGCUCUCUUAGUUGCAUCACAACACACUCACCCAUAUUUAUAGGCAAGCAUAACCGACUCAUCAAGUCGGUGGAAUUGCCCAUGCUGCUUUCUAGUUCUUUCUUCAUAUACAUAAUAUUGCUAGAUUUUUCAGCUACAAUACCGACAUUGUUAAGUCGGGGCCAUGGCUGUCUAUUCCCAACCACAAAUUCAAUACAUAUUUUAGUAUAUUCUAUUUGCAAACAUGCCAACUUGCUGCUAGAACAAUCUAGCAUAUUUUAGUAUGCAUGUAUGAUCAUCGACCAACUUUUUUUUUCUAGAAUUCGCUCGCUUAUUCACAAGUUUUUAGUUUGUGUUGUCUUGUGACGCCGAUUGAAUUUCUCAGUCUGAUAAAGUCUUCUUAUUUGAGUGGCUUGGUGAAUAUGUCCGCGAUUUGGUCUUAAGACUUCACUUAUUCCACUUGCACAUCCUUUCUUGCAAUGCACUCUCUUAUGUAGUGAUAAUGGGUAUCUAUGUGCUUGCUUCUAUCAUGGACCACCGAAUUCUUUGCUAAAGCUAUUGUAGACUUGUUGUCGACAUAAAUCUCAAUUGGUUCUUUUUGUGGCAUGCUUAAUUCUGUCAGCAAGUUUCUUAACCAAAUUGCAUGACAGACGCAUGUUCUAUGUGAAUGCAGUGUCUCCCAUGAAGAAAACAAAUCAAGUAGUGUUUUUUUUAUCGUCGGAAUCUUCUGCCCAAUCACUGUCGCUAUAUCCAACAAGCUUGUAGUUAUUAGAGUUUGAAUAGAACAAGAGAAAGUUAAUAGUACCUUUAAGGUAUUGAAGAAUUCUUUUGGUGGUCUUCAAAUGUGUAGUUGUGGGAUUCUCCAUGUAACGACUGACAAAUCCGACGACAUAGAGAGUACUAGUCUUUUGCAAGUCAAAUAACGCAAACUUCUAACUAGACUUUUGAAAAAAUGUUGGAUCUACACUUUCUCCUUGGUCAUGCUUGGUUAGUUUUACUCCGCACUCUAUUGGAGUGCUUAUGGGCUUGCAGUCAUCCAUUUUGAACUUUUUCAACAUCUCCUUUGUGUAGCUUUCUUGGGAGAUGAAAAUGUUAUCUUCGUUCUGCUUGACUUCAAUGCCUAGGUAGUAUGCCAUCAACCCGAUGUCCGUCAUCUCAAAUUCUUUGGUCAUCACUCUCUUGAACUCUUUAAACAUGCUUGGAUUACUUCCAGUGAAGAUUAGAUCAUCCACAUAUAAGCACACAAUCAAAAUAUCUCUAUCUUUGGCUUUAACAUAGAGAGCAUAUUCAUGAGGGCACUUGGUGAAGUUGUUUUCUUGGAAGUACUUGUCAAUGCAACUGUUCCAUGCUCGUGGCACUUGUUUUAACCCAUAAAGGGCUUUUUUUCAACUUCAAAACUUUGUCUUCAUGCCCUUUGAUUUCAUAGUCUGAUGGUUGCUGAAUGUAGACUUCUUCUUCAAGAACUCCAUUUAGGAAAGCGGACUUCACAUCCAUUUGUUGAAUCUUCCAUUUGUUUUGAGCUGCCAAUGAAAUUAGUAAUCGUACCGUUUCCAAAUGAACAACAGGUGAAAAUACCUUGUCAUAGUCGAUUUGUUUUUAGCUGCCCUUCGCCACUAGUCUUUCCUUGUAUCUUUCGACAUUUCCAUUGGUAUUUUUCUUUGUCUUGUACACCCACUUGACUCGAAUGGCUUUGUGUCCUUUCGGAAGAAUAACGAGUUCCCAUGUAUCAUUUUUCUAGAUGGUUUUGAUUUCUUCAUCCAUUACUUUCCUCCAUUUAGUAUCCUACAUUGCUUCUUGGAAGUCGACUAGUUCACAAUCAGCAAAGAGACAAAAAAAUGUAAGAUUAUCAAGUAUUUCAACUACCUUAUAGAGAUCUUGUAUACUUCUUGUGUGUGGUACUUCUCUUUCAAUUAAACUCCCACUUGAAGAUGCUGAUGUUGGUGAAUUACCAUGAUUAGUUGAUGUUGGUGAAGCAGGUGGAGUAGUGGAUUCUUGUUGAACAUCUCGUGCUUGCUCCAUUAUUGUUUGUUCAUUAUCUUCUUCAAAUUGAGGAAAGAAUUGAAGAUCACCUACAUGCGGGACAAAAUCUCAUUCUCCUUCUUCAUCGAAUUUCACGUCUCGACUGAUCACCGUUUUCCCAUUGUUAGGAUUAUACAGCUUAUAGCCUUUUGAAUUUGUGUCAUAAUCGAUGAAGAUGAACUUCUCACUUUUAUCGUUAAGUUUGGUUCUCCUUUCAUCUGGUACAUGUACAUGGGCUAUACUUCCAAAAACUCUUAGAUGAGAAAUACCUGGUUUUCUUCCACUCCAUGCUUCUUGUGGAGUCUUUCCCCACACACUUCUUGGUGGAGACCAAUUUGAUAGGUAGACAGUACAUGCUACCGCUUCUGCCCACAGCUCCUUAGGCAACCUCUUGCUUUUGAGCAUACUUUCGAGCCAUGUCGAGCAUAGUUCGAUUUUUUUUCUUUCCGCCACACCAUUUUGUUGAGGGGAUCUUGGAACUAUCAAAGGUCAACGAAUUCCAUUGGCUUCACAGAAUUCUUGAAAUUCCUUCGAAGUGAAUUCUCCUCAUCGAUCAGAUCUCAUGGCUUUGAUCUUGCAACCACUCUCUUUUUCUACAGCUGCUUUGAACUUCUUGAAUGCUCCAAAGGCCUCUGAUUUCUGCUUCAAGAAAUAUACCCAGGUUUUCCUUGAAAAAUCAUUAAUGAAGAGAAGGAAAUAAUUAUUUUUAUUGAAAUAGCUUGGUUUUAUUGGACCGCACACAUCGGUGUGAAUAAGCUCGAGUGGCUUCUAGGCUCUUGUGGUUGACUUAUUUGGAAAGCUUUUCCUGAACUGUUUCCCAAGUAAACAUCAUUCGCAAACUUGAUCAGGGUGGCUGAUGCACGGUAAGCCUCUCACCAUCUCCUUCUUAGAUAAUAACUCCAAUCCCCUAAAGUUAAGAUACCCAAAACGAAGAUGCCAAAGCCAGGAUAUGUCUUUGUAACAUAUCUUGAGACACUUUGCAACAUUGUUUUGAAUGUUCAUGAGAAACAUCCUAUUCUUUGACAUUUUCACCUUGGCAAUUAAUCUUCCUUUGUCAUCUCUAAGAAAAAGGCUAUAAUUUUUCAUGUGAAUAUCAUAACCUUUUUCUAGGAGUUGACCCAAACUCAAAAUGUUGCUUUCCAUAUUGGGUACAUAGUAGACAUUUGAAAUUAAUUGGUGACCGCCAUUUUUUAGGGGAAUAAGGAUGUUAUCUUUUCCUUUAACGGGUAUUUUGGAUUCAUCUCCAAAAGAAACAUUGCCACUCACCGAUUCAUUGAGCUUUACGAACAUGCUUUUUCUUCUGCACAUGUGGUUCCUGGCGCUGGUGUCAAGGUACCAUGUAUAGUCUUGGUCUCCAUCAUUGUUCUUGCAUGCUAGUAGCACAAUGCCAUUCUCUUCUUUCUCUUCUUUCACAUAAUUGACCUUCUCAUAAGGUCUAUUGCUUGGAGCUCUACAUUCCCAAGAAUAAUGCCCAAACUUUUGACAAUUGUAGCAUUGAACUUGAGAUUUUUCAUACCUCAAGUUUGACUGUCCUCUUCCACAACAUUUUUUGUUGAGCUUUCUUCUCUUUCAUAGUUGCUAUGGUUGUUGAAGUUCCAACCACAUCCGCGACCUCGACCACAACUUCUUCUGUAUUGUCUUUUCUCAUUGUCGAAGCUUUCUUCUUUCUUUGGCUGAACAUGUGUCUUGAGGAGCUGCUCAUCAUUCCCUUGCCUCUUCUAUGUUUCCCUUCAUAUGCUGGUAGCGAACCAUUAAUUUCUCUAUACUAAUUUCUUCAAUCGUCACGACAAUGUACUCGAACUUGGGGUCCAACGAGCGUAGUAUUUUCUCCAUUAUUCUAACAUCUUCCAACUUUUCACUGUUUCUUUUUAAUUGAUUAGAAACAGCUAAGACUCUUGAGAAAUAAUCAGAGAUUGAUUCAGACCCUUUGAUUUGUAAAGAUUUGAACUCACCUCUUAAUACUUGAAGACGAACCUUUUUCACUUGUUCGGCUCAUUUGUAAGAGGUUUGAAGCUUCCCCCAUGCUUGCUUGGCAGAAAUUGCACUCGAGACCUUCUCAAAGCCAUUGUCAUCUAAUGCUUGGUAAAUGAGGUAGAGAGCCUUCUUGUCUCUCUUUCUUGAAUCUUUCAAACUCUCAUUAUGGGGUUGGGAUAGAGUAGCUUCAUCAUCUGACUCGGUGUAGCCUUUCUCCACGACUUCCCAAAUAUCGUGUGAACCUAAAAGGGCCUUCAUUUUGAUACUCCAAUUAUCGAAGUUGUUGUUGUCGAGCACUAGAACUUGGAAGGCUGCCAUAGUGUUUCUAGCCAUAGCUCUGAAACCACUUUGUUGGGGGUUAAAAAGACUUGACUACUUUGGAGAUGUUUAUUUCACAAAGGAGAAUGUAAUGCAGCGGAAUUGAUAGGUAAGAGAAAGAAAGAACACUCAAAGUAUUAAACAAAAUUUUUAUUCUCACACAAAUUUAGUAUAAGAGAAAACACUCAAACACUCUUACACUUCUUCACUCUUUUUCUCACUUCUUGCUCUCUUAGUUACAUCACCACACACUCACCUAUAUUUAUAGGCAAGCAUAACCGACUCAUCAAGUUGAUGGAAUUGCCCAUGCUGCUUUCUAGUUCUUUCUACAUAUACAUAAUAUUGCUAGAUUUUUCAGCUACAAUACAGACAUUGUUAAGUCGGUGCCAUGGCUGUCUAUUCCCAGCCACAAAUUCAAUACAUAUUUUAGUAUAUUCUAAUUGCAAACAUGCCAAACUUGCUGCUAGAACUAUCUAGCAUAUUUUAGUAUGCACGCAUGAUCACCGACCAACUUUUUUUUCUUUCUAGAAUUCUCUCACUCAUGAGUUUGGUGCUUGUGUUGUCAUGGGCUGGAUCAUAUGUCUUGGUCCAAGACAAGAUUACCAUUCAACACCAUUGCCCCAUAACCUCAUCUUGGCAGGCCUUGGGUGCUAGAUUAAUGCCCAACAUGAAGCAAGUACCAGAAGAUACGAUUUCCCAUCCCCGACAAUGGAGUAGGUAAGACAAGGAUAGAUUAGGCUAUGGCCAAAAAGUGCGCAGUCUAAUGACUCAAGGAGGCAGAGAAGAUGGAUUUCAUCCCAGUAAGCGUAGCAGUGGAUAACAGGAAAACUCUAGACGACUCCAACCAGGAUUAAGAAGAUGGCUUCAAACUUGACUCAUCGACAGAAGAAGAAGGAUGGAAGCCAUAAAAAGGUGUCAUACUUGUCAUGCUUGACCCAUGUCACCCCGAAAGGAAGGUGCAGAUAGGUUCCAGGCUUCGCGAACAAGAGAAAGAUGAGCUCACUGCCUUUCUUCAGCAAAACAAAGACGUGUUCGCAUGGUCCCCUUAAGUCAUGUCAGAGAUCGAUCCAGAUAUUAUCUGGUACAAUCUACACAUAGAUCCAAACUUUAAGCAUGUGGCCCCGGCCAAGAUCACAUCGUUAGCCAAGCUGGUUUUGGACUAGAUUACUUUUUAGGUCAUUAAUCACUGUGUGUUGGAUGCGAUCACCACCUAGUCGACUUCGUUUGCAUGGUUUGCCUUAUAGAAGUUUCUUUCAGAGUAAUGGUGCCACUUUAUGAUGUCAUAACGUCCUUAUGGGCCACCUUGACAUCAUAACUCCAUAACGUCCUUACAGGCCACCUUGGCGUAGAUUCUCUUCACCUUUUCGUUCCUUCUAGGAAAGUGAUGGUAUUCUGGAUCAGUAAAUAAAAUCUUUGAAGGCUUACAUGGCCAAACCAUGGGAGUCUAUGCAAACGAUAUCAUGCUGAAAGGUUAAAUCCCAACAAGUAUAGAUCACAUUAAGAACCUCGCAGAGACAUUUCAACUUCUACAAGCGUACAACAUGACGUUGAAUCCAAACAAGUGCACAUCUGGAGUCUCCUCAGGCAUCUCUUUACAAGAAGUACUAGUCCGUGAUAGUUGAUCGAGUAUUUUGCAAAUGUGCUGAGAGAUUAGUGGAGAAGCUACAACCCAAUGCACUUAAUGGAACUGCUGUAAACAUGGAUGACAGAUUUUCUCAGUUAACUCUUGAUGUUAUAGGCAGAGGUCGCACUUGGUGCGAUGGCAAGUGCCUUCGCCCAUGAGCAGUAGGUCUCGGGUUCGAGACUUGGGAGCAGCCUCUCCAUAAAUGGGGGUAAGGCUAGCCGACAUUCACCUCUCCCAGACCCUGCGUAAAGCGGGAGCCUUGUGCACUGGGUACGACCUUUUUUUUUUUUAACUCUUGAUGUUAUAGGCCUGUCUUUGUUCAACUACAAUUUUGGUUCUAAAUGCUUAUAGCCCGGUUAUUGAUUCUGUUUACACUGCAUUGAAAGAGGCUGAGCUUCACUCUACUGAUAUAUUGCCAUAUUGGAAGGCAAGCACUCUCUGAAGUUUCCUAAUCAUUGCUGCUGUAUUUUUUUUUCCCUUCCAUUUUUGGACUGUGACCACGGUUACGUCUUUUCUUUUUUCAGUUGUUGUAGGUUGAUGUUUUGCAAAAGAUAAUCCCAAGACAAAUAAAACCUGAAAGCGGUUUCAGGGAUCAGGAAUUCUGUUGAAGAACUUAUUGCUAAGUGCAAAGAAAUUGUGGAAGCUGAGAGUGAAAGAAUCAAUGAGGAAGAAUAUAUAAAUAACACUGAUCCAAGCAUCCUUCGUUUUGGCUUGCAAGUAGGGAAGAGUUCAGCAUAUACUAGCGUUCGUGAUGAUAACUGCUCGUAUAUUUUUAGCGUCCACAGUUUCAAUAAACAUUUACCCUUUGACAGAAUUAAGGUUCAUGUUGAAAAAGGGAACACUAUUUUUAUCUUUUAAAAAAAAAAAAGAGCAUUGAUCUUCUUACAUAGUAGCAGUGCUAGCUAUGACAAAUGAGAGUGUAUUAUGCAUAUGCAUAUGUCAAAAAUGCUCAUUGCCUUUCUCUUUUUCUAAUAUGCCUGAUUUGAGUUGUACUAGACUUUAUGCAUAUAAUUGUUUGUUUGAAAAAACUAAAGAUGUUUUUCAUUAACCUAUUCAUUUUCGAAGAAUGAUUAAGACUGUUGAUGAGCUCAAGAGUAAUCCAAGUCUUCUUCUGUCAUUAGUUUUAGCUAUAAAGUAAAGACUGAGAUCGCUAUACUUUUUAGUUCUAAAGUGAAGCCUGAGGACAGAGGAUGCAAUACUUUUCAAGUAUCAAGUGAGGAAUUCCGAGAUGAUCUUUUGUCUAUGUUGGUUGCUAAACAUGAGACGACUGGUUUAUGAUGAAAAGUUAUCUAAGUGAUUAUAGUGGUUUCCCUAUUUAUAGAAUGUGAGAUACCUUUUUGGAAAACAUGUGACUAUUCAUGAAGAGUAAAAAAUUGCAACACUUCAUUUAAGUAAGCAUAUCUUUCUACCAAAAGGCUUCACUUUUAAUUUCCAUUCAGUUAAUAAAUUUAAUAUAAUAAUAAUAUUAUUAAAUUUUCCAACAAUCCCCCACAUGAAAGGAAAUUGACUCAAUACCAUGCAAACGACAAUGCAGACAUUAGAAAGAGAGGAAAAGUACUGCAUCGGGAUAGGUGGCUUUUGGCUUUGAACCUUCUAUAGUGAAUUAUUAUCGGAUUUACUUGGCUAAUCAGUGACCGCGAUGUCUUGAACUGCUCAGCCGUUUGUGUAAACCAAGACAAUAGUAAUCACACAAUACACUUUUAGACACCUCGUGGUUGCUCGGUUGUGUUCAUUUUGGCCCUAAACAAUUCUUGGUUUCUCAUGAGUGCUUUUAGAGAACUAAACCCUUCAAAAAAUUCUCACAUAAAUGGCCCCAUUCCUCACUCAAGAUAGGUGACUUCCCAUUAAGAGUAUCCUGCAAUACCCCACUUGUUAUUUCCAUGUAUAGGAAUCAUUAAAAACAAAGCUUAUCCUAAAUACGCUGCAGAUAGCACUGUUUCAUCAUAGGACAUGGGUAGGAGAUUAUCUCCGCAAUGCUCCCAUUGAAUCAUCCACAAUUCAGUUGUCCCUUUAAACAUAGAUCUUGGGAUCUCCAGUCAGCUAGGUUGGGUUGCCAUUAAGGCGAUUCUUAAAGAUGUAGAUGUUUAACCCAUUCCCCUCAAUGAUACAACUUACUCUCUAGUCAAACCUUUAAAAAUUGGUACCACUAGGUUGACUACUCAGUAUAUGGCCAUCAUAAACUUUAUAUCCAUGCAUGGAAAUUAUUUCCUUUGAGAGGAGUUGUUUUCCAAUGUUAAGUCUUUCAAAACAUAUGUUAGGACUUACAAAGUAAUUUGCUAAUACUCGGGUACAUUCCCCUACAUUUAAGGUAUUUAUAAGAAGGUCUCCAACCUUGCCAUACCUUAAACAAUUACUCAUUACAAGAGAUGACAUUUCGAUUUUCUCAUUCAAUUAGCAAAUUAUAUUUCCAUUCUUCUUAAAUAAAUCUCAUAUCUCAAAAUUAGAUGAGCUACCCCCACAAUUCUUUGAUAAUUGUGGUCAUAAUUUGACGUCAUUGUUAAAUCAAUCACGUUUUUAUUUUAUGAAGUAGGAAACAACUAAGAUAGACCUUAUAUAUCUAUCUUAGCUUUCAUCAUUUCCGCACUAUGACUAACGUACAUGACACAAUGGCCAUGUCCAUUGAUAUGCUUACUUAAUAAGUAUCAUCAUGCAUGUCUAAUACAAUUUUGUGAAAUGCCCCGUACAUUUUUAGUGUCGUCUAUUCCUUUGUGAAAGAUCCCCACAAUUUCAAGAUUAUUUCUUUAUAUUGAUAUCAUUUUGAAUAACACUCAAUAAUAUUCAUUUUCUCCAUGAUUGACGGGGCAAAUGCAGAACUCUCCUCAGCAAAGAAGCAAAACACCUAAAUUUAGAAAUAUGCUUCUCAAGUCUUCUAGAAGGUGAUGCAUCAUAUAUGACUAUGGUCAUCAAUAUAUGGUAUCAUUCUGGGCCUAUUGAAAUUUAUUCAUCUCUUUGAAAAAAUCAGAUAAAUAAUUGUUAUCACUGUAUGAUAAUAUACAUCGAGUCAAUGAUCGGUAUGUAGAAGUUUAAAUACCAGCCCAUGAACACAUGUAUAUUGAAGAAUGGUAUAAAGACAUGUCUAGUGAAAUAUCUCUUCACCAUAAGUUUUUCCAUAACGAGAAUAUGCUCCAUUCAUGUUUUCCAGAAAUUUUCCAAGAGACCCAUCUUCCUAAUUGAAAGAUUGUAAUCGCUCACGCAUAUAGGAGCACAAACAUGCAUGCCACAAAAACUAAUCUCACAUAAAACAAACACAAUAAUAAUGCAAGUCAAGUGUAAAAAAUAUCGCAUCUCAAAAUGGUAAUAAAAGUACCAUUCCACAAAAUGCCCAGAAACUUCCAACCUAUUCAUGAGAACUCACUGCAUAUUAAUUUCUGCAGUUCAAGAUGCACCACCAAUUACAUCUCCGCUUUUAUAGUAAAGAAAAGAUAUCUACAAUUGCCAUGUAGUGGCUUUUUGCAUAUACAACAAAGCUAACUGAUCUGGGUCUCGCCCACUUGGCUUCAAGGCAUGGGACAUACAUGAAGGUAGGAAAUUGAACAAAGACAUGUCCAAUUUAAUAUGAACAUAUAGAUUUGAGUUCAACAAACAAAUAUAGCAAACACAAGAAUUAACACAUAAUUGUCAUGUUCUUAGAAAUAAUAUGUGAUCGGAUUUUUUUAUUUUUUUUAUUUUUUUUUGUCUACAGCCGAAUCAUGCAUCAAUUAAUGUAGCAACCAAACCAAAUAAAUUUGACAUGACUAUAUGGAAACAAAAUCAUAAUUUUAUGCAAAGAUUAGAUACCAUACCAUUCUCUCACAAAGUUAAACAAGAAGAAAUUAUGCCUCUAGGACCAAGCAUUAUUAUAUCGCUGCAUUUAAUUCUCAAACAAACAUAGCAAUCAAACCAUAAACUUGUCUUAAGAUUGUUGGAAAAAAUUAGGGUCUAAUUGCUAUAUUAAAUUACAUAAAAAUUUAAGAAAUAAUUCAUGCACUUAUAUAUCAAAGUAAUACAUGCACAUGAGUAACCAAUGUUAAAUGAACAUGAAAUAAUGGAUUAGAAAAACCUAGAAAAUACGGUCGAGGCAAGUGUUGGACACUUUUUCCUUAAGACAAAUUUACGCCCCACUAAGGUGCUCGUGGUUGAUCAGCGCAUGUCUCCCAAAAUACAACGACCACGUCCUUAUAAUAGUAGCACUCCAAAUCACAAGGCUCCAUGAACCACAAUUGUGUUGAAAACUCUCUCACAUGGUCUCAAUGAGACUCUAAUAUUUAACACACUAUAUGUAUGUAUGAUGAAAAGUUAUCUAAGUGAUUAUAGGGGCUUCCCUAUUAAUAGAAUGUGAGAUAUCUUUUUGGAAAGUAUGUGACUAUUCAUGAAGAGUCAAAAGUUGCAACACUUCAUUUAAGUAGGCAUAUUUUUCUACCAAAAGGCUUCACUUUUAAUUUCCAUUCAAUUAAUAAAUUUAAUGUAAUAUUAUUAUUAUUAAAUUUUCCAACAUACAUAUCCAAGAUCAAUAAAACUGAGUUGUGUAAUAUUUUCUGACCGCAUUAUUGAUCACUUCUCUCAAAUGAAUGAGAUCGAUGCGAGACUCAGUUAUAUAAGAUCUAUAUGUUAGUACAUAUAACGUCACUAGUACAUAAGGUCUCCUAACAGUUUGUUUGUUUGUUGCAGGGUUUGUACAUGAAACUGAGCCAACGACACGCAAAGUCGGCAUUAGCUAUAUAAACAAUCACGUAAGUGAUGGGAGAAUCCCAGUGUGCUUUAGAAGUGUCAAGAGUCUGUACUAGUAUUUUACCGGAUUUAUGUUUGGAACGGACUAAUGAUGUUUAUAAUUUUUAGUGUGAUUAUCGCACUUUAAAGAAGAUAAUAGGUAAUGCUAUGGGUACCAAAUCAAGUAUCAAAACUUUGAAUUCUACGGUACGAAAAUAUAUCUCCUCAACAUUAUUCGCUCCUAAUUAACAGUCCUUUUGUCAUUCAUCAUCUUUCUCGGGACGGCCAUAUGGGAUUCGAUGGCUUUUUAAGCUUUGUUUCUACCGCCACUGUGCCAUGCAAAAACAUCAACAUUUAACAUCAUGGCACAGCUUUAUUGUAUUUUGUUCGCUUAUUAAUUAAUUACUAUAUGUGAAUUUUUAUUUCAACCAAGCCAAUUCUCUAUAGCAGAACAGAGAACAAAUAAAUGAUAUACAGUAUAAUCUCUAUGUCAUAAUGUUGGAAUUAAACUAAUUUUAGUAUAAGUAGGUUAUUAAUUACGUAAUAGAGGUGUAGUUACCGAAAUUGUUUUGAACAUGUUGUCCUUAAUAAAAGUUGUAUAGAUAAAAAUAAGUACUUUAGUAGCGGAACAUGUCAACUUUCAAGAUGUACCCGUUGGAAGAGAGACACCUAACUAAUGCAUACAUGUAUAGUAAUGCUCGUUUUAUGCUAAAAAGGUAUAAACAUGCUUGAUGAGCUAUGUCAAAAGUUCCCUGCCGGUUAGUUGAAAAACUUCCAGUCUUUAGAACUUUUGUGCGACUCCUUUUCUAGCAUGGCAAUGACAUCUUCUUAAGUGACAAGGGAUGGUCCCUUCUCAGAACCCUUCCCGGCAGCAGCAACUGACUUUUCUUGGGUGAUCUUCUCCCGAUGUGCGCAAUCCUUCUCACUCAUUUUCUCGCAAUUGGCUUCAGGAUUGAGUUUUUCAACUCCUUCAAAGAUGCAGCAAUUUCUUUUUGGGCUUCUCCCAAAGCAUGAAUGGUAGCGAUGAUGUAUGGCGUGGCGUACUCUUCCAAUUUUUCUUGACUUUCAUGGUGUUGUUCCUCACACUGGGACUUGCUCAGCCAAGAAUCUGUUCGUGGCAGAAAUUUCCGUGGGGGAUGCUUCCUGGCCGACGAGCACACAGCUCCCCGAGAGGUUGGCGCCGGUUGAUGCUUUCUAUCGGGCUCCUGCUUUACUGGCGGGCUUGUCGGGCAAAGCCUGUCAGACAAGGCUUGUCGGGCAAGGCUGAAAGAGAAGGACAGAGUUAACUUUGAAAGGUGCCUUUGUGAGGCCUUGGGUGUAGGCCUUGAGGCUCACAAUCAAAAUUAACGUUUAAGUGCUCAGGCGUGCCACUGCCAUCUUCAGCAUGGCAGAUGUAGAACGGAUGUUUGAAUUUUAAUUAUAUAUAUUCGAGAGACUAUGUUAGUUAUUGACAGGUGCCUUUGUGGGGCCUUAGGUGUAGGCCUUGAGGCUUCCCAUAAAUAACUAACUUAGUACUCGAACACAUAAGGUUCCUUUUGUUGGUUAUAUGAGCCUUAUAACCAUCAUACUUCUGAUUACCUGAGCCCAACGAGCAUAAUGAAUCCAAAUGAGUGCUUUUGUGGGGCCUUGAAUAGGCCUUGAGGCUUCCCAUCAGAACUCCUUCUAUACUCAAUGUUCUCGUCCGAGAAAUAGGAUGAAUCCAAAUAGGUGCCUUUGUGGGGCCUUGAAUAGGCCUUGAGGCUUCCCAUCAGAAUUCAUCCCAUACUCGAAUGUUAUAUGGUAAUCAUAAUAUAACAGAAAUAAAACUAAGUGACAAGUCGAUUACUUGCGCCUCAAGUAACUUCGGACUUCUUGUUAUCAAAGCUUGUCGUGGAUGGGUUAAGUCCACAUCAGGUUAUUUUCUAUACCUUGAGGCCAAGGACUUUUAGAGUAAUCAAAUCUUAUAUGUUUGAGGGCUUAGAAAUUAGAUCUGGCUUGAACUAUGAAGACAUAUUCAAAUCGGAUUCAAGCACUGGGAAAGUCUUUUAAUAGCCAUAUUACUAGAAAUAACUUGGAUACAACUUGUAGUAUACAACAUAUUGCUAGGCCAAUGAAUGGAAAGACAAAAACAAAGAGGGUCGGGCAAGGUUUAACCUUGUCGGGCAAGGCUGAUCGUCUUGCAACUUCCUAUCUUUGUGGUUUAUCAGGAGGUUUGAAAGCUUAGAAAAUGGGUUGGGAGGUGAGUUUACAGAAAGAAAUCGAUACUACAAUAAGAGUUGAACAGGGUAGCAGAGCUAUUACAAAGGGUUUAUCCCGAAAGGGAUGAAGGCUUGGGCUGACUACAGCUUCGUUUUGAAGGCAAAUCUAGCUUUUAGCAGAGUUUGUGCUUUUGUUUAUUUGUUUGAGUGUCCUUGACUAUGAUUUCUCUUUCUCCUUUUAUAGACACUUUGGCUUGGCCACUUGUAGCAAUAAUCUUGCCCGAGUGCAGUUUUGAAGGAUAGUGACUCAUCAGCUAUUUACUUGUACUGCCAUCAUAAAGUACUUUUGGGCUGAUUAGCUAGCUGGUCUAUACCACUUGGCCCUUAGGUAGGUGAGCAAGUGGUGCAAAUGAUCUGCACCUAGUCGGGAAAGGCCAUUUUCUGCUUUCUGGGCUUGGGCUGAGCUUCGGGCUUUUCCUUCUCUUUUUGGGCCAACUCACUUCUAAGCCCAAAGUUUAAGUUUUAACCCAAACAGUGCCUCUUUCAAUCAAUAUUCAGACUGGAAUUCUAGGCACCAAUAUUGAUUGAAUAGGUCUCUAUUAAUACCCACGUCUCUCCUUCUCGGUAUUUGCACACUUUUCAAAAGCAAUCACCGUCUUUCUUCGGUUAAUCCCAUCACUUCCGAAUCUCCUGUAUUCUUCUUAUCUCUGUAAUAAAAAACUUCCUAACCCUCCAGUCGUUUCUUCCUUGUCGUUCUAUUUCCAAACUUCAUCAAAUGGCUUUAAGACCCAGCCAAAUCCAACUAUGCCGUUUACUCAAUGACCUGCAUCGCCCUGGAACAGGUUUGUAUUCUGAGCUUUUCUUUGAAGUACAUGGAGUACAAUCGUUGGGUCCCGCAUGGAUUUCUCGAGUCCCUGCAGUGAUAGAGGAUAAUAUGCCCAAGGAUAACUGGUUUUUUCCAAAUCCCUAUUUGGCUAAGUCGGGCAUUUCCUCAUCUAAGUGGUCGUCAUAUCGCCGAGGCUUUCCAUUGAUGAAUGAUUCGGCUUGGACCCAAUGGAUUGACGAACUAGAGCCAACUUUUAAGAAGAAAUGGAUGAAUAAUGGCAUUUACGAGUUAAUAAUGCUUUCAAAAACCACCAUUAUUCCCAAGCCCGAACUGCUUGCUUCCUCUCUUCUUUUCUAAAAUUCGGGCACAAAUACUUUUGACUUUCGCAUGGGUCCCAUGUCUUCGACUAUUCUAGAUAUGGCUCCAGUCUUCGGGCUAAGGCCGUCGGGCAGGAUAGUAGACGUUACUCAAGAUUGGGCUCUCCCCUCAAUUGCUGAAAGCUCAGGUUCAUCCACAUCCUUCCUCUUCUUGGAAUAUAACUCUGCAACCUUCAAGAGUUACGGGACCUCGUUCAAGGGAUUCAUCCCUUUUGUAAAAGAAAAUUUUGGAGCAGGUUCUUCCCGUGCUGAUAGAGAUCAAGAGCACAUGUAUUUCCUUUUAUACUGGCUUAACAAACACAUCUUCCCCAAUAAAUCUAAAGGGGUGAAGGUUGAAUGGAUCCCCUUGGUGGAAGCUCUUCAUAACUUCGAUGAUGUUGCAAUAGGUCCAUUCUUUCUUUCUCAUCUUUACCAUCUUCUCUUCGAAAUGACUCAGGGCGAGCCAUUUGAGACUAACCUGAAUGGACCCAUAUGGAUGAUACAAACAUGUCUCCAAUGGUACUUUCCAGAGUUUUGGGCUGCCAAUUUAGAGUUCCCAGAAGGUGUGGCCCAUGCCCGAAUCCUAGCUGAAGUUGCUCCUACGAAUCACUCCACAUUUGCCUACUUUUAUUUCUUCAAGGUUUGUAGGACUCGAUCAGACCUGGAAUGUGGUGCGUCAGUUUUGAGAAGAUAUCCUUGGUUUUCUAACCAGGCCUUUCAAGAUGCUCCUAGGGAAGAUGCCACCUCUUCUUGUAGGGAAAAAUUUAUUAGUUGCAUUUAAUCGAGAGAUAUGGCCUGGGGAGUUCGGGGCAAUUGAUAUGAUCGAGGGUUGGAGGUGUAUCACCCUAACUUUUGCAGCAGGCAAUUAGGCUUUAGGCAAACCAUCCCCAUCCCAUUUUUUUUCUGUUCACUGUGGCACUUCCUUUCGUUUAGUAUCUCCCUCUGAGGCGACCUUUAGAGCUGCCCGACGCAGUCCUGAAGUCAUGAGUCAGGCUGCCCGAAAGUCCAUCAUCCUUAAUUUUGAAUGCACUUCACUCUUCUCUUCUUGGUGGGAAGACAAAUGGACCAAGAAAUAUGGAGGAGACUUGAGAAAGACUCAUGAUCGCCUGUUCGGUCAACUUUCUCUUAAAUCAUACCCUAGCUCGGGCGAACUUGAAAAUUAGAAGGAGAUGAUUCAAGAGAAGAAUCAGGCUCUUCUGAUAGGUAUUCUUUCUUCUUAUCUUGAUUCCAUAAUCCUUCUUUUAAACCCUUUUAACUUUUUCCCUUCUUAAUCCUGUAGCCCAAGUGAAUGUUGAAUCAGUACCGAAUGAGUCCGAUGAUGACUUAGCUGAUGCAGCAGUUCUUCAUGGGGCUGUGACAAAGGCUGAAAGGUUAGAAGCUGGAGAAGGUGGGGAUGUUUCAGAAGAUUCAGGAGCUGAAAAAGAAGCGCCUGAAGCCACCAUCCAAGUGUUUAAGUGAAAGAAAGCAGUUGUGAUUGAGAACUCAGAUUCUGAUCCUGUAUCCCUACCCAAGACUAAACGACGAAUUCCUACCCCUACUCGAAAGAGUAAGAGAACCAGAACCGUCCAAACUCUCAAGUCUUCAGACCCACCUGCUCUAGUUGCUAAGGCGGGCAAAAAGAAGCAAAAAUCUUCAAGUGAGUUGUGCCCCUCUGUGUUAGGCUGCCACAUUUCUUCUUUAUCUAGUUACCUAUGUUUUUCUUGAACACAGGACCUCAAGCAUCAAAGAAACCAACCAUCGCUUCCAAGGAUGAACCCUUAGGAGCUGCAAUGUAUAAAAAGGCUGAAGAAUUGACAAACCUCACCCUUAAAGAACUUGAGGUAUAGUCUACUUUUAUGUCUGCAUAAUCUUUCCUGUUUUCACAAAAACCCUGAGCAUGGUUACUUGAGUAAGGCUGCAAGAAACAAAAAGCUCCAUCCGCCCGAGGUCUCUUCACCAGUUGCUCAAGAAACAAACCUCCCCCCCCCCCCGGGUUAAUCCUUCGGAGGUAUACUCCCUUUCUUGAACCUUAGGUAACUUUAUGAUUUCUGGGGGUAAUGCUUGAUCUUUUUCUUUCUUCUGACUUUACCCAGGUCGAGGUAUCUGCCCCCUUGCUUAGGCAAGGUUCUCCUUUGAUUUCUCCUUCCGUCCUGGAGGCAACUCCAUCAUCUCAAUUUGAUCCGUCCACGAGAGUAAUGUUGCACUUCGUGGAUGCAGACAGUAAUUUGGUGAGUAACCAUCCUUACAUUGAUUCCCCAUACAUCGUUUCGAUACUAACUUCUAUUUACCUCUUCCUCAGCCUUCCUCAAUAAGAAAUCCAUCAGUGGCAACAAGAACAAGUGAUGAACCCAUAGUCCCUGAGAUUCCUGUGACUUCAAAAGCAACUACUCUGCAGGUAUUCGCCUGCCCGACAGUUACCCUUGAUGAACCUCAUUCAUCUCCUCAGGGUCGAACUCUGGUAAGGAGAUAUUUUCUUCUUGUUCUUCUCUUACCAUCUGCUUACUAACAAUUGAUGCCCUUCCUGGGUACUUCCAGGGUAUUGGUGAAGGUUUAGGCGCAGUUUCUUCUUCCCCUGUUAGUGGUAGGGAGUCUUCUCCUCAACCAGGAAUUGGUACUCUUCCUUGUGAGGCUCCAGGGCUUGGUCAGGUAUAUUUCUUCCUCCCAAAACUUCCCUUCACUUCAAACUGUAUAUUUUAACAAUUUGAUCUUCUUUUGGUCUUUGCAGCAAGUUCUUGAAGAAACGUCUCCACCUCGCUUGGUUCGUAAGCCAAAGCUCCCCCAACCUCAUUUAACUAUCGGGAAUGCCGGGAUUCUUCAUCUUGGAACUAAGAAAGCCAGAGAGCUGAAAACGGCCCCAUCAGUGAAGGAAAAAUUUUGUCCUAGCUAAUAACAAGUAAGAACAUUUAAAUACAUAUGCAUACUAUAAACACUUUAAAGUAGGCAUGCAUUCAAAAAAAAUUCAUAAAACCCAUGACUUUCAAAGCCUAGUAUAUGGUGAACCAAUAAACUCUUUAACAACAUUAAAGAGAAGUAAAGAUUUAGAGUUUCUUUACCCUUGAAGCUCAUCCUUGAUUACACAAGGGAUUCACCCAAGUGGAGGGCCUUCAAGUCACCUCCAAGCUCCUUAGAUAUUGCUUGUGAUUUCCUUCUCCUUUUGUGCUCCUUUGGUCCUUGAGGAUGUAAGGAAAGGAUCUCCAAAAACACCAAAGAUUUGGUGUCUCUAAGUCUCCACACCAAGGGUUAAGUGUGAAGAUGAAAUGGAUGACUUAGAGAAGAAAAGAUUGCUAGAUUAAUCUCUCUAAGUGGCUGGCCUCUUUGUAGAGAGAAAGAGAGAAAAUGUUUCACCUCUUUUCUUCAAAGAAAACCCCCUAAUGAAAAUAAAGCCAUAAAGUUGUUUUUAUACUUCAUUACAAGUGAGUGGCAAACUUGUAAUUAAUUCAAGUUUGCUCCAUUCACCCUAAUGGCCGGCCUCUCCUUGUAAUUAGGCUAACUUGCCCAUUUUGUUUUAGUUGUCAUACAACUUAAACAUAAUGGGUCUUGUGGACCAAAACACUUUUGGGCCCCGUAACCCAAAACCAAAUUAAAAGCCCAAUACGAACCUUUCGUAAAAUUAAUUAACUAAUUAAUUAAUCUUGACCAUUCUUCAAUUAAACCAUUUAAUUGCAUUUCCAUUUCAUUUAAUUUCUUCAUUAUCGCCCUUACUCGGUGUACGAUCCAUUAGGUUCCAAUUAGCGAGGUAGUGGGCGAUUGUUACUCUUAACGAUCGAUUGUGAAUUGAAACCACAUUUCAAUUCUCCCUUUAAUGAUUAGUGUUUGCUAAUCAUUAGGGCUUCCACAAACCAUAAGUGACACCUAGCAGUAUGUCAUGGUUACCCAAGCUAAGUAGAAUUGGUUGGAGAACCUAUCCAGUUACAACUACAAUGCAAUACGGUUAUUCUCUAAUACUAUACCCUUAAUCACAUUGUUUAAGUGAUAGUUUGUUUCAUGUCUACUAUCCAAUGUGAUACUUUUCUAUAUGAUUCCCUUGAAUAUGAUUUGGAACAAACUUCCUAAGUCAUAUUCAUUUGCUUUGGCCAAAGACUUUAGAAUCAUAUCUUAGAGUAUUCUCCUUCCACCAUGGAAGGUUAGAGAUCCCUUGUUGUGCAUUCAUAUGCCUACAUGACUAGAUAGCUUGACCCCAACAAUGCCGUGGACACUCCGAUGGAAUGCCGUUGACAUGAUCAAAGAUCAAGGACCUAACCAUUAGACAUCUAUGAUGCCUCAAGUCAAAGGACUACUUUGCAUAUUGCAACUUUAGAGUUCUUACAUGACAUGUAUCUUCGAACUCUCUUUUGAUCGUUGUUCAGUGUACUCGAUUACUCUUUCGAGCACCUAUGUGUUUGUCUUAGUGUCCAACACUAAACGACUUGAGACUAGUCAUACUCAAGCUUGAGUUGACAUAACACAUACUAACCUUAGCGGAUUGUCAACACCCAAUUGGCAAUCCUAUGGCUAGGAACGUUUUAGGAAUGAACAUAAGAGAAUGGUCUCGAUAAUCUAACUCACUUAGAUCACUUGUCUCUUAGAUCAAAUACAUCCCUUGGAUUCCCUUAUUGCAUAAACACAUGAUACAAUAAAUAGUGUCUGUCAAUAAGCUUUGCCCUUCAUUAAACAUAUAAAAGUUUAAUACAUUAAGUAUUCCAAAAAGCUAUUACAUCAAAUGAGUGGCUUUGUGGGCAUACUUCCAACAAUCUCCCACUUGCACUCAAAGCCACCUUCCCAUGUAUCUAAUAUCCAUCCUUUCCAUAUGACGGUCAAGUUGGAUUUGAGACAUUGGCUUUGUCAGUGGAUCUGCUACGUUAUCGGCUGAAGCAACUUUGAGGAUGUUGACUUUCCCCUCGUCAAAAUGCUUGUUCUUUUGAUGUGCCCUGGGUUCCUUGGCUUGAGCUAUCGCCUCACUAUUAUCACAGUACAAAGUUACUGGUGAUGUAAUGGUUGGAACCACUCCAAGUUCAGUGAUGAACUUCUUCAUCCAUAACGCUUCUUUGCCGGCUUCAGCUGCAGCGACAUAUUCUGCGUCUGUUAUGGAAUCAGCAAUUACACUUUGUUUCUUGCUCUUCCAACUGAUAGCCCCACCAUUCAGAGUGAAUACAUAUCCGGAGUUGGAACUUCUAUCAUCGACGUCAAAUUGGAAAUCUGCGUCUGUAUAGGCUUCCACUCGCAACUCUGUCGCUCCUCCAUAUACGAGGAACAUGUCCUUAGUUCUUCUUAAGUACUUAAGGACCGUCUUGACAGCUGCCCAGUGUUCUGGUCCUGGGUUAGAUUGAUAUCGACUAGUAAUGCUCACAGCAUAUGCGAUAUCUAGCCUUGUGCACAUCAUGGCAUACAUGAGACUCCCUAUGGCAGAAGCAUAAGGAAUAAUAUUCAUUUGCUGUAUCUCUUCAGGAGUCUUAGGUUCCAUGGACUUAGAAAGGUGAAUUCCAUGUCUCACAGGAAGAAAACCUUUCUUAGAUUGUUCCAUCUGGAACCUACUUAGCACCUUAUCAAUGUACAUAGAUUGGGAUAAUCCAAUUAAUUUUCUGGAUCUAUCACGAUAGAGCUUUAUCCCAAGUACAUAAGAUGCAUCUUCUAAAUCUUUCAUGUGGAAGGUUUUCGACAACCAUACUUUUACAGAAGAAAGUAUUGCAGUGUCAUUCCCGAAUAGUAAUAUGUCAUCUACAUAUAACACUAGGAAUACUACUGCUUCCCCAACGACCUUUUGAUAAACACAAUUGUCGUCUUCGUUUUGAGUAAAACCAAACGUUUUGAUUUCAGUGUCGAAACGAAUGUUCCAGCUCCUGGAGGCUUGCUUAAGUCCAUAAAUGGACCUUUGAAGCUUACAUACCUUAGUCUUUUCAGAGUUGGACACGAAACCUUCGGGUUGAGUCAUAUAGAGCUUUUCCUUUAGGUAGCUGUUCAGAAAAGCCGUCUUCAUGUCCAUUUGCCAGAUUUCAUAAUCAUGGUACGCAGUUAUAGCAAGCAAAAUUCGAAUGGACUUAAUCAUGGCUACAGGAGAGAAAGUUUCUUCAUAGUCAAUCCCUUCUCUUUGCCUGUAACCUUUGGCUACUAGUAUAGCCUUAUAAGCCUCCACGUUCCCAUCAACGCCUAUCUUCCUCUUGAAGACCCAUUUGUUUCCAACAAGUACUAUACCUUCUGGAGGGUCUACAAGAGUCCAGACCUGAUUUUGAUACAUGGAAUCCAUCUCGGAUUUCAUGGCCUCUUGCCAUCUCUUUGAAUCAAUGUCGGACAUUGCUUCAGUGUAGUCCCUAGGGUCCUGCUUUGUGUCAUUGUCACCUAGAAGGUGCAAUUCCGCAAAGUCAUUGUCUAAGCCAUACCUCUUAGGUGGCUUACUAACCCGUUCAGAUCUACGUGGAGCUAGGGGUUCAGGAACAGGGUUGUCAACUUGUCGAGUGCUUGUUUGUGGUUCAUCAUUAAUCUCAUUAAUUUCCAUCUCUUUGCUUAUAGUUCCUUUGAGAACAAAUUGUUCCUCUAGAAACAUAGCAGUUCUGGCGACAAAGACUUUCUGGUCGUCAGGAUGGUAGAACUCAUAUCCCAUAGUUUCUUUGGGAUAUCCCACAAAAUAGCAUCUUACUGAUCUCGCUUCAAGCUUAGUAGCUUCAAGCUUCUUGACAUAUGCUUCACAACCCCAAAUCUUAAUGUGAUUAAGACUUGGCUUUCUUCUAUGCCAUAUCUCAUAGGGCGUUUGUGAAACUGACUUGGAAGGUACUCUAUUAAGCAAGUAAGCUGCUGUAUAUAGAGCGUAUCCCCAGAAUGUUACUGGUAGAUCAGCGGAACUCAUCAUAGAACGAACCAUGUUCAUCAAGGUUCAAUUUCUCCUUUCAGAAACUCCAUUAAGUUGUGGAGUUGCCGGUGCAGUCCACUGUGAUAUUAUUCCACACUCUUUGAGAUAAUCUAGGAACUCAUUACUCAGAUAUUCACCCCUCGAUCCGAUCUUAGGAUCUUUAUCUGUUUCCCAAUUUGCUUCUCAACUUCAUUCUUGAAUUCUUUGAACCUUUCAAAGGAUUCUGACUUGUACUUCAUAAGAUACACAUAGCCAAACCGAGAGUGAUCGUCGGUGAAUGUGAUAUAGUAGGAGAAGCCUCCUCUCGACGUAGUAGACAUAGGUCCACAUACGUCAGUGUGGAUUAACCCUAGAAUUUCAGUGGCACGCUCUCAUUUUCCAGUAAAUGGAGAUUUGGUCAUUUUCCCUUUCAAGCAACAUUCACAAGUACCCAUCCGGUCAUUACCUAAUGGGCGGAAAUAUCCGUCUUUCGACAUCUUGCGAAUCUUAUCAAGGUUCACAUGUCCAAGUUUAAGAUGCCACAUCUUUUCUUGGUUAACUUCUUCUCUAGCCCUUUUGGGUUUUGAGGUAUUCCCGCUUUGCAAUACAGUGCAUCCCACCCACUAUUCGUCUCUAGGUGAAAAAGUCCCUCUAUCAUAUUACCAUGAGAGAUAAUACGACCGUUCAAGUAUAAAGUGCAACUCAUUUUGUCAAACAAUACUGAGUGCCCAUCUCGUAAAAGCUUAGAGAUAGAAAUCAAAUUCUUUAUACAUGAAGGAAAAUAUAAACAAUUUUUAAGUUCCAGGACUUCCCCAGAGGGUAGUUUAAGCAUGUAGGUGCCUAUUGCUUUUGCAGAGAUUUUAGUGCCGUUCCCAACUCGCACAACCAUCUCCCCAUUGCGCAGUGACUUGCUCCCUGCUAGUCCCUGCAUCGUAUUACAGAUAUGUUGACUAGCGCCUGAAUCAAAUAUCCAGGAAUUGGAGCUCACUGUAAAAGCACUCUCUAUGACAGAAAUAGUCUCUUCAAAAGUUCGUGUCAUAAGGCUCGCAAUGCGCACCCUGUAUUUCUUCUUCCAACGUUCAUCCUUUCCACAAUGAAAGCAUGUUCCUUUGGAUUUCUUUGCCUUCUUCUUAUGCAACCUUUUCCUUGUUUUUGCAUUCUCACUCCCACUGUCCAUUUUGAAACCUUUUUCAAAUUUACAGCACAUGUCAAUCAUCUCGUUUAAAGUAUGAUCGAAUCUAUUCACUUUAUAGUUUACAAUAAACUUAGUGAAAUCAUCCGAGAGAGAUGCAAGGAAAAAGUCUUGGGCCAUUUUCCCAUCGAUGGAAGUUCCUAAACUUUGAAGAUCUUGAAAGAUCCUUUCCAUCUUUUGUCCAUGUUUCUGGACCGAUGUCCCCUUUUCCAUUUUGACAUUCAUUAGACUACAAACAUUUGAGAAUCGUACAUUACUAGUCUCAAUGUCAUGCAUCUUAUGCAAACUUUCAACCAUGGCACAAGAAGUGUCCAUGUGCUUAUGUAGCUUCAUAAGCUCCUCACUAAGUGAAGUGAGGAUUAAGCAUUUGGCUUGUAAGUCAUCCUCAUAGUGUCUAACAUAAUUUUGACACUCCUCCUUUGAAGCUAGUUUUCGUAGGAGGUACAUGAGGAGGGGAUUGCUUAAGCACAUACAAUAUGUCUUUCACCUUUGAGACAUUCUCAAUGUGGCGAUACCAAGCAAGGAAACGUUGGCCCCUAAGGCCCUUUUUGUCAAGUAUAAUGGUGGGUAUUAUUUUAGGCAUGUCGUUAACUACAUAACAUAACAGAAAUCGUAUUAGAUUGUUUGUUUUAAAAAACUAUUUGAUUGGGUCUUAAAUCAAAUAGUAGCACCCACUAUUUUUGGCAAAUUCCACAUCCCUCAAUGGAAUUCGAGAGUUAUUUUGAACUCUAAGCGGGGUAUGGGAGACUCACCAUUACCAAGCCCACCUCACGAUGAUACGAUAUUGGUUAGCAAAAAUAAUGAUGAGAGAAUAACACUUUAUUCAUUUACAACUUUUGUAAUUACCCAUCCGUUUGGCCUCUAGAGAAUGUUGCCUCACGAUGAUACUAUAGCGGCACCAUUGCACUUAGUUAAGUCAUUCCCACCAUGCUUAGUUCGUGAAGGGGUUCAAGAAUAGUCUCACAAUGAUAUGAUAUCGGCCAUCCUCGUUGCCUACACUCACCUCAUCAUAUGUUUAUGGAUUCCUCCUGGAUGUAAGCACAUACUUUGAACUCCCCCAUGAUAGGGUGAAGUCGGUGCAUGAGUCACAAACGAUUGGAGCCCACCACGGUGGAAGGCCUACGAAGAGAUGUUCAAAACAUCUCUCGUUUAUCAACUUAAUAUUCGUUUGUUGAGGGAGUAGUUUUGGGCUACAUCAAAAUCAUUUUAAUCUUAUUAAAAGAACUUUGGGCCUAUCACAACCAUUGGUCCAAGUUUAAUAUGAAUUAGUAGUUUAUAAUACUCCCACUAUUUCGAUGAAACAAGCGAGACUAUAUGGAACUACUAACGAAUGCAUUGCAUCCUCAUAUGGACUAUAUAGUCAUAUUAGGUCUUAGGAUGAUUAUGAACCGUUUAAUUUGAUCCAACACGAGCCUUGUGUUGGACCUUGGGUUUAAGGUAGAUAGUUGUUGAUUUUAGUUACGCGUUUAAUCCAAUUAAACCGUUAUUUCCUAUUGUGCGUUGGACAAAACUAUUCCAAUUUGCAUACAUAUAAACAAAAAGGAAUACAUGAAAUAAUAAUAAGGGCUUAUGCCCUUUUACAACACAAAUGAUGGACUUAUGUCCAUUUACAACAAAUUGAAUUAAUCAAAUUACAUUCAAAUCUACACUACUAAACCCAAACAUUCAUAAUGUAAAUCGGCCAAUCACAUAGCUCAAUUAUCGAGGCCUUUGGUUCAUAAUCACCCUUUUCUUAAUCAAUCACAUUAACUAAGAAAACAACUUUAAACAAUUGGUUUUUGGAUCCAUAGAAUUGAUUUAAAUGGAACUAAAUGAAAUGAAAAUCAAAUUCUCAUUAAAGAGACAAAACCAUUUUGUUCUCAUCUUAUUUGGGCCAAAAGGAAACUAUGACCACAACAAUUGGGCCACAAUGCAAAUACAAAAACUUUUGGGGUCACUUUGUAAAAACACAAAAGUCCACAACUUCAUGUAAUUACAACUAGAACCCAAAAUUUUAAUAAUGAAAAAACAUCAUUAAAGGAUCAAAACAAUUUGUCCCUUAGAGUUUUAGGGCCUUAACGUAAAAACGUAAACUUUUGGGCUAAAGUGCAAAUACACAAAAGUAUCAAAACUUUAUGUAAUUGCAUAAAAGGCCCCAAAGUACCCCCACUAGGGGGUGGCCGGCCAUUUGAGAAGAUAUGGAAAAAAUUUCUAAAAAGUUUUUGCAAGUUGAUUUUGGUAGGUGAGGUUAAAGGUGAUAAGGAUAAGUUUGUAAGAUAUUUUGCAAACAUUAAAGAAAUUUUGUCAAACAUUAAAGCCAAUAAUAAUAUCCUACCAAUAACCAUCACCCAUCAAAAUUAAACCAAAACUUUAUGAAAAACAUAAAACUUUUGAAUCAAAACUUCAAAACUUUUUUGUUCUUGGCAAGAACUUCAAGAACAUUGAAGAACACCAUGAAAACUCAUAAUAGCUCCAUGAAUGUUUUCACUCACCAAAACUCAAUUUUUCACCACUCAAAAGAGGGCUAAUAUCCUAGGGUACUUAGGGGUUCCAAAAGUCACCUUAAAACCAUUUUAACAAGACAAACAUGAACCCAAAAAAUCACCCUUUGGAUUUGGCCGAAUUUCCCAAAAUACAUGGCACCAAAUUUUAGUUCCAAUAUUCAUGCUUAAAUGAAAUACAUCUACAACAUUUGAGAUGCUAAAUUUUCUAGCAAAAUUUAUAUAUUCAAAAGCAAGAACAAAGCUUGUAACAUUUACAACAUUUAAAUCAUAAAUCAUGAAAAUCACAAAACCCAAAAGGAUUCACCAUAAACUAGGCCAAGGCUCUGAUACCACUUGAAGGAAAAAUUUUGUCCUAGCUCAGAACAAGUAAGAACAUUUAAAUACAUAUGCAUACUAUAAACACUUUAAAGUAGGCAUGCAUUAAAAAACAAUUCAUAAAACCCAUGACUUUCAAAGCCUAGUAUAUGGUGAACCAAUAAACUCUUUAACAACAUUAAAGAGAAGUAAAGAUUUAGAGUUUCUUUACCCUUGAAGCUCAUCCUUGAUUACAUAAGGGAUUCACCCAAGUGGAGGGCCUUCAAGUCACCUCCAAGCUCCUUGGAUAUUGCUUGUGAUUUCCUUCUCCUUUUGUGCUCCUUUGGUCCUUGAGGAUGUAAGGAAAGGAUCUCCAAAAACACCAAAGAUUUGGUGUCUCUAAGUCUCCACACCAAGGGUUAAGUGUGAAGAUGAAAUGGAUGACUUAGAGAAGAAAAGAUUGCUAGAUUAAUCUUUCUAAGUGGCCGGCCUCUUUGUAGAGAGAAAGAGAGAAAAUGUUUCACCUCUUUUCUUCAAAGAAAACCCCUAAUGAAAAUAAAGCCAUAAAGUUGUUUUUAUACUUCAUUACAAGUGAGUGGCAAACUUGUAAUUAAUCCAAGUUUGCUCCAUUCACCCUAAUGGCCGGCCUCUCCUUGUAAUUGGGCUAACUUGCCCAUUUUGUUUUAGUUGUCAUACAACCUAAACAUAAUGGGUCUUGUGGACCAAAACGAUUUUGGGCCCCGUAACCCAAAACCAAAUUAAAAGCCCAAUACGAACCUUUCGUAAAAUUAAUUAACUAAUUAAUUAAUCUUGACCAUUCUUCAAUUAAACCAUUUAAUUGCAUUUCCAUUUCAUUUAAUUUCUUCACUAUCGCCCUUACUCGGUGUACGAUCCAUUAGGUUCCAAUUAGCGAGGUAGUGGGCGAUUGUUACUCUUAACGAUCGAUUGUGAAUUGAAACCACAUUUCAAUUCUCCCUUUAAUGAUUAGUGUUUGCUAAUCAUUAGGGCUUCCACAAACCAUGAGUGACACCUAGCAGUAUGUCAUGGUUACCCAAGCUAAGUAGAAUUGGUUGGAGAACCUAUCCAGUUACAACUACAAUGCAAUACGGUCCAUUCUCUAAUACAAUACUCUUAAUCACAUUGUUUAAGUGAUAGUUUGUUUCAUGUCUACUAUCCAAUGUGAUACUUUUAUAUAUGAUUCCCUUGAAUAUGAUUUGGAACAAACUUCCUAAGUCAUAUUCAUUUGCUUUGGCCAAAGACUUUAGAAUCAUAUCUUAGAGUAUUCUUCUUCCACCAUGGAAGGUUAGAGAUCCCUUGUUGUGCAUUCAUAUGCCUACAUGACUAGAUAGCUUGAUCCCAACAAUGCCGUGGACACUCCGAUGGAAUGCCGUUGACAUGAUCAAAGAUCAAGGACCUAACCAUUAGACAUCUAUGAUGCCUCAGGUCAAAGGACUACUUUGCAUAUUGCAACUUUAGAGUUCUUACAUGACAUGUAUCUUCGAACUCUCUUUUGAUCGUUGUUUAGUGUACUCGAUUACUCUUUCGAGCACCUAUGUGUUUGUCUUAGUGUCCAACACCAAACGACUUGAGACUAGUCAUACUCAAGCUUGAGUUGACAUAACACAUACUAACCUUAGCGGAUUGUCAAUACCCAAUUGGCAAUCCUAUGGCUAGGAACGUUUUAGGAAUGAACAUAAGAGAAUGGUCUCGAUAAUCUAACUCACUUAGAUCACUUGUCUCUUAGAUCAAAUACAUCCCUUGGAUUCCCUUAUUGCAUAAACACAUGAUACAAUAAAUAGUGUCUGUCAAUAAGCUUUGCCCUUCAUUAAACAUAUAAAAGUUUAAUACAUUAAGUAUUCCAAAAAGCUAUUACAUCAAAUAAGUGGCUUUGUGGGCAUACUUCCAACAAUCAGUAGGCGCUACCUCAUUAAAGGAAAUUGGAGAACGAAAUCCCCUUCCUGUUUCUCUAUUUGCAAAAACUGCUAAGUUGCCCGAACUGUUUGAAAAAUUCGGGCAGCUCGAGACAAGGCUGAAAUCUUCGAUGCAUUCUUCACCUUCAGGUUUUCCAGAGCAAAAGCGAGUUUUCCAAGAAUGGGCAAGGAAGGAUUUCUCUGCUUCAUUUAGCCUUAAGGCCUUUUAUGAUCUGGAAAAGGUUACGAGUGAGCUUUUUAAAGUCGGCCAACUGUCAAAAACCCAACAUGAUUCCUUUCUCUCUUUCUUUGAGAAUCUGAAGGCUCUUCGGGACCAACAUAAGAGAGCAGAAAGACAAGCCAAUCGUGUAAUAUGCUUCCAGGAGAAGGAAUCAAGUACUUCUGCUCAGGUAGACAGGUUGAUGAAUGUUGGUUCGUUGACAAAAGAAAGAAUUGGAGUGGUGACUUCUGAAAUCCAAAAACUAGAAGAACAACUGGUUGUUCUCAAGGCUAACCAAGCAAUUCUUCUUGACACCCUCGAACAUCAAAUCGAAGAAGUGCAGAAGACGAACUUGGAGUUAGAGCAUUCUAGAUCUCAGCUUGCAAAUAGCCACACUGUCCUGGCCGAACCUAGUAGGAUUUUUACAAUCAUGCAGACAUAUCACUCCCGAAUAAUCACCCUAAGUGAAGAUGUAAAAUUAUUAGACUGGGAUUACUUGUAAUCCCUAUCUUAGUGGAAUGAACAAGUACUUUUCUUUUGCUUGCUUUGCUUCUGGCCCUUGUCUGAACUUCUUUCGGGCAACUCUUUGCCCCCUUGUUUACUUCUUCUUCAUUUGGGCGAGGGUGUUGUGACAACCUGAGAUCCAUCUUUCCCCUUUGUCGUAACAAUUGAUGACACUGGCCUCUCCAUCUAAACCAGAUGGAUCGCGUUGAUAGGAGCUUCCGGGAAAGGAUUGGUAUCCACCAUCAUACUAGCUUGUGGCUUGUCAAGUAACAACUUUCCCUUCACUAUAAGGUCUUGUAUCCAGUCUCUAAACUGGACACAAUUGGUUAUAAAAUGGUUGAAGGUAUAGUGUAACUUGCAAUACUUCUUUCCCCUCAGUUCUUCUGGUUUGGGCAUCUUUUUCGUACUGUCAGGUAUAAUCACUCUUGCCCGCACCAGCUCUUCAUAAAUCUCAGGUGCUUUAGCCAGAUCGAACGAAUAGCUCUGGUAUUUAGGAGGUUUUAUCGGGACAAAGCCUCCAUUGUUCAUCACAAUCUUCUGGUUUUUUAUGGGCUGAACUAAUCCUUUCACCAUUAAUGGUUUGAAAGGCGUAGUCAUCUCAGCAGCACACACCUCGAUUUCCUCUCUAUCAUGGUCAUCCUCUUGCUCUGGUCCAAUUUCUCUUACCUCCACAUGAUGAAUUGCAGCUUUGUUUUUGUAGAAGGGAGGAGUUUUGGAAGUAUGCUUCACUUGUUGUUCUUCUAGUAAUAACCUUUCAUAUCUUGUGACAGCAAUGACUAAUUCAUGUAGCUCGUUAAAUUGUGUAUCAUAAAAUCUUUUCCUCAAAGGCAAUUUCAGAGCCUUUUGAGCAAUUGAUAUGAGCUGAGCUUAGUUAACAGGGAAUUGGCACCUCAUCCUUGUCUUCCUGAACCUCAUCAUGAAGUCCUCUGUGGACUCAUGCUCAUAUUGUUUGACUUCAACUAGAUCAUUAAUAGUCAUUUCUGGUUCUAUUCUGUAAAACUGUUCAUGGAAAGCCAUCUCUAUUUUCCCCCAGUUGGCAAUAAAAUUAGGGGGUAAUAGAGAAUACCACUGGGAUGCAAGUCCUGACAACGAAUUCCCAAACAACCUUAACUUGUAAUUUGGGUUGUCUUCAUAUGCCACACAGUGAUUAGGGAAUUUGAAAAUGUGAUCUCUGGAGGACACACUGCUGUAUUCACCUGUGAAUGUUGGGAAUGCGGGCAUCUUGAAGUUGAGAGGAAAUUGAUUAUGUUCAUCAAUGUAUUUAGGAUAAGGCUUUUGAUAAGUAAUUCUGAAUACUGGACGAGCUCGUGGUUGAGCAUUUUGAACCAUUGCCCUCCUCAAUUCAGCUAACUCAUCUCUCAGUUGUUGAGUAGUUGUAUUAUUCUGAAAUAGAAGAGCGGACUCGUUCUUCGGGCUUCGAUCAUUGCCUGUGAAUGCUUCUUUCUUCGAUUCAGGCUUUCUCCAGUUGGUUCCCCUUCCCUUAUGAGCCAAUAGGGGUGGCCUAUAAGGAGGAGGUUUAUCCGAAGCCGCAUAGCUUUUUUUUUUGCUAGACUUUCCUAUUGUUAUGGGCAUCCCAUACUUUGUCCUUUCCUGCUCGCUUUGCUUCCUAUUAUUAAAUGAUAAUAAUGGGAAGCUAGGAAACUCUUUCCCCAGGACCGGCUCUAUCAUGGGUUGACUUUCUUCAAGAACUGCUUUCUUCUUUCCCCUAUCCGUUUCUUCUUCUAAUAAUGGAAAUAGGGGAAUGAUUGGCUCACUUCUGAUGGUAACCUGGCUCAUCCCACUCCCUUGAGCUCCUUUUGAAGUGGAAAACUCCAGAUCUAGCUUCCUCUAUAAAUUCCCUGUUAAGGUACACAGUCUACUGACUUCCCCCUUGGUCUCCAAAGAGAUUUUUUCCAUACUUCUCAAUACUUGUAUCAUAGUAGCCUGUAAUUCUUCAUUAGUUCAUUUCCCUUCUGACUUCCCGGAUGAAGAUGGGCUUUCUAGGACUACCUGUCCGGAUGGGGAAGAAUGAUUUCUUGAUUGAUCUGUCAUUGGUAGUAAAAGUUGAGAAGAACCGUUCUUCGUACUCUUUCUGCGAAGUUUAUGGCCUUUCUUCUUGGACAUACAAGAUCCACACAAAUGAGAUCCCACCGGGCGUGCCAAAACUAUGUUCGUGGCAGAAAUUUUUGUGGGGGAUGCUUCUUGGCCGAGGAGCACACAGUUCCCCGAGAGGUUGGCGCCGGUUGAUGCUUUCUGUCGGGCUCCUGCUUUACUGGCAGGCUUGUCGGGCAAAGCCUGUCGAGCAAGGCUGAAAGAGAAGAACAGAGUGAACUUUGAAAGGUGCUUUUGUGAGGCCUUAGGUGUAGGCCUUGAGGCUCACAAUCAAGAUUAACUUUUAAGUGCUCAGGCGUGCCACUGCCAUUUUCAGCAUGGCAGAUGUAGAACGGAUGUUUGAAUUUUAAUUAUAUAUAUUCAAGAGACUAUGUUAGUUAUUGACAGGUGCCUUUGUGGGGCCUUAGGUGUAGGCCUUGAGACUUCCCAUAAAUAACUAACUUAGUACUCGAACACAUAAGGUUCCUUUUGUUGGUUAUAUGAGUCUUAUAACCAUCAUACUUCUGAUUACCUGAGCCCAACGAGCAUAAUGAAUCCAAAUGAGUGCUUUUGUGAGGCCUUGAAUAGGCCUUGAGGCUUCCCAUCAGAACUCCUUCUAUACUCAAUGUUCUCGCCCGAGAAAUAGGAUGAAUCCAAAUAGGUGCCUUUGUGGGGCCUUGAAAUGGCCUUGAGGCUUCCCAUCAUAAUUCAUCCCAUACUCGAACGUUAUAUGGUAAUCAUAAUAUAACAGAAAUAAAACUAAGUGACAGGUCGAUUACUUGCGCCUCAAGUAACUUUGGACUUCUUGUUAUCAAAGUUUGUCGUGGAUGGGUUAAGUCCACAUCAGGUUCUUUUCUAUGCCUUGAGGCCAAGGACUUUUAGAGUAAUCAAAUCUUAUAUGCCCGAGGGCUUAAAACUUAGAUCUGGCUUGAACUAUGAAGACAUAUUCAAAUCGGAUUCAAGCACUGAGAGAGUCUUUUAAUAGCCAUAUUACUAGAAAUAACUUGGAUACAACUUGUAGUAUACAACAUAUUGCUAAGCUAAUGAAUGGAAAGACAAAAACAAAAAGGGUUGGGCAAGGUUUAACCUUGUUGGGCAAGGCUGAUCGUCUUGCAACUUCCUAUCUUUGUGGUUUAUCAGGAGGUUUGAGAGCUUAGAAAAGGGGUUGGGAGGUGAGUUUACAGAAAGAAAUCGAUACUACAGCAAGAGUUGAACAGGGUAGCAGAGCUAUUACAAAGGGUUUAUCUCGAAAGGGAUGAAGGCUUGGGCUGACUACAGCUUCGUUUUGAAGGCAAAUCUGGCCUUUAGCAGAGUUUGUGCUUUUGUUUGUUUGUUUGAGUGUCCUUGACUCUGAUUUCUCUUUCUCUUUUUAUAGACACUUUGGCUUGGCCUCCUGUAGCAAUAAUCUUGCCCGAAUGCAGUUUUGAAGGAUAGUGACUCAUCAGCUAUUUACUUGUACUGCCAUCAUAAAGUACUUUUGGGCUGAUUAGCUGGCUGGUCUAUACCACUUGGCCCUUUGGUAGGUGAGCAAGUGGUGCAAAUGAUCUGCACCUAGUCGAGAAAGGCCCUUUUUUGCUUUUUGGGCUUGGGCUGAGCUUCGAGCUUUUCCUUCUCUUUUUGGGCCAACUCCCUUCUAAACCCAAAGUUUAAGUUUGAACUCAAACAGAAUCAGCCUCGCCUUCCUCUUCCAAGGCUUUGCCACUCCUGAUGUCGUUUCUUCUAGAUCUUAGAGCCAUGAAUCAAAGUUGCGAUUUGGUCCCUAAUGGACUCGCCAUUUUUAUGUUGGGAGACUUUUAGGUUGAGUUGGACUUGAGCCUUAAUGGAAAUCUUUUUGCUUCCCCUAGUUUGUUUCAACACCAAGUCCCUAAAUAACUCAAAAGAAUUAGAGUGUCAUCUGAAGUGUCUCGGUUGGACUAAUGGCUCAAAAAUUCAUGUCCAACCGAUGGUUGAGCUAUAAUUCUAUAGAGCCCACCAAACCAUUAUUUGGCCAAAGGGGCGUCAGGAUGGCCAAUUGUAGCCCUCCUCUUAGCCAUUUUUUUGGGGCCAAGCUCCUUAGUUGCAAUAAUUAAUUCAAAUCCAACCACUAAAUUUGAAAAUAUCCAACCACUAAAUUUGAAAAUAUCCAACAGUAGUUUAAUUAAAUUAAUCAAUAAAGUUCAAGUAUAAACUUAAAACUAAGAAAUUAUUGAGAGGCAAUGUUUAGCCCAAUUGGAUAGAAAUGAUAUAUGAGUAUGACAUGAUACUAAUCAUUUAAAAAUAAUUUUUUGCAUGGCUCUGUUUAGCCCUUUCGAUUGGAGAUGAUGGCCUAAAGGGAUCCCUUGAUUUCCUACUUUCUUCUCGUUUUGGCUUAGUCUUCAUAUUUCUUUCCCUUGGUACAUCUAUGACCUUCCUUUUUAGCAUAACAUAGAUCGUUGCUCCUAUGAAGACUAGUCGUGCACUCUACCUAGAAUGUCUUAGUCCCUAGUCAAUUUUCCACAAGCAUUUCUUUUGGCACCACCCCUCCUUGUUUUCAUUUCUUGUUUUUCUAUAUAAGUUGGGAAGGGAAAGAUCCCAUUCCUCCUCAUUAAUGAACGCUUUGCACUAGGUUUUCACAUGGUCCUGAAACUUUGGAUUUUUGUUUCUCCCUAAACAGGCUGGUUGGCUUACUAAUGGAAAGGGAAACUUGAUUUGUUCUCUCCCAAACCUACCUACGUGGAACUCAAGAAUCAUGGGAUUAGACUUUUGGUACUCCUAAGCAGCCCAAAGUCUUCCACAAUAUUCGUUUCACAUAGGCUUGAUAAUCUUCCGUAAUCAUCCACACCAUGAUCUAGUUGGUUAACCCUUGAUACAUGGCAUGGGCUCAUAUUAACGUGUAGCGUGGUUAACAUGACUUGUCUACAACAUCGUGACAAAGCUUGGCGUGAUAGAUAUGCAUGGGCUUGGCGUGAUCAUAUAACCGUCCGGCUCAUAGAUUAUUUGGCAUGAUUAUAAAUAUGCUUCCUUCUCGAUUUUGCAUCUUUGCAUAUACUUAAGCUUGGCUCAAGGUAUUUUUAUGAUAAUCAGGCUUCCAGAUGUGAUUGGGCUUGUACAUGAGAUUUGUGGGCCCAACAGUAGGCAAUAUUGUUGCCUAAUUUGGAAGAGUGCAAUUUUACCUACUCAAUUGCCAACGUGCAACAUUUUGCUUACGUGACUCAUCAAAUAUGGUUUGCCUACCCAUUUGCCAAUACCAAUGCAAAUGCUCUAAUAGCUCGAUGCUAUAUUGGCUAACAAUAUCUACAAUGGGAGAUGUAAAAUGUCUUGAAAUGAACAUUUUAUAUUUUUAGUUGGUAAAUCUUUCUAAUAGAAAGAUGUAAAAUUCUCAACUUAGCCGAAAGAUGUAAAUAAAAAUCUAAAUUUACAUAUUUGUUUACAUCUGUUUGGAGGUGGACCCCAUCAAAUAAAGGGAGAAUAGUACAUGGGAUCUCAAGUUUGCAUCUCUCCCAUUGAAAUACAUGUCACAUUGACAUCCCCAUAAAAUGUAAAAAUGUGAUGUAAUUAUAGUUUUCACAUCUUAACUAUGCACCUCUCCAUCAAAGAUGCUCUAAUGUAUGUAUGUACAGUAGUUUUGCCUUUAAUGCCAAAAGUUUUAUGUCAGGAAAUUGUAAGCAUGUUUUUUGUUUUGUCAAAAGUUGUAAGCAUGCUUGAAAAGUUGAAAACAUUUUUACCUCAACAAGAAGGAGCCUAUUUUGACGAGUUAUAAUUAUAUUACAGAGAAGUAUCUUUCCUUUAAAUUUUUAUUUGUGACAUUACAUUAUUUUGGCGUUAUUAACAGUUAUACUAUGUAGAGGCAAAUUUUUUUAUAACAAAAUCUAAAAAAAUUAUAACUUAUUACAAUAUAAAAAUUAUGUAACAUUUCAUAAAUAGAUAGAGGUUAUUACUGCAUAGAGUAUCACAAUAAAUCUAUUAAUGGAUGUAGCAUUUCUCGAAAGGAGAUGUAUGGUAGCUCAAGUAUGGAAUAGCUAAAUAUUAUAUGGAGGUUUUUGUUGUAAAAUAGACGAUAUAUGUAGUUGCAUAUAAAGUAAAUAAGGUACAAUAUUUACGAAGUUUAGCAAGUGUGCCUACGUUAUCGGGGUAGCAACAGUAGUUUCUUUCAUUAUCUGAAUUAAUAAGAGUAUAAAGAUAACUCUUACUAUUUUUCUCUCCUCUCUAGCCUUGGCAUACCUUCCAUGAAUUUCUCUAUUGUGUUGUGUUUUCUUUUAGGCAUUUUAUAUUAGUAUCCCACAAAAUGUUGAAUGUACCCCACAUUAAAAUUUAAUAUUAAUAACUUAUUUACCCUACUAUGCAAUUACAAUUUGACCUUAUUAGGUUUUAAAAAAAUAAAAAAUUUCUAAAUACACCCCAAAUCACUUUUAACGUAUUAUUUAUCUUUUCAACUAUCAAAACCCCUCUCAUCGUCCAUUGUUGAAUAAAACCCUAAGCAAUGAAACUACAAACAUGUUGAUUGAGAAAAAUUAUUUUUGACCGGAACAUGAAAUCAGUGUUUCGAAAGCUUUACAUGAGAUAAGACUUAAUACUUUUCUUUGUUUUAGUGAUUUCGACGACAUCGAUAAUUAUUUAAUCUCACUCAAUCUAAUAAUUCAAGAAUUAGCACUUAUGAAUCUCAUAAUUCGAAAACCAUGGCAUGCAAAUUGAUUGCAGAUUGAGUUCAUAAGGUGCUUUCUUGCAGGUUGACUUGGUUCGACCAAAAUAUGCACAAGAAAAUGGAAACAACAUGGUAGCUUUGAAAUCAUUAUUUUUGUUAUUGAAAAACGUUCAAAUGAACCUAAACAUUUUUUUUCAAAUCAUUCAAUUUGAAAUCAUUCGGCAAACUAACUUUUAGAUGGUUUGAAAUAAUUCGGCAAAAUUAAAAAUGAGUGUUAUAAGAUUUGAGAAAUGUGGGGGUGUAUGUAGAAAAUGUAAGGUGUAUAUUAAGAAUGUGGGAUGUGAGGGUAUUAUGGGGAAGGAAGUGGGAUGUAUUAAGAUAAUUUUUAAUUUAAAAAGUAAAUGUGGGGUGUAUUAAGUAUGUGGAGUUUAUUCAACAACUUGUGAGGUGCUAAUAUAAUUAGCUUUUAUUGUGUUUUGGUCAUAGAUCGCAUACUCUUUAUAUAGAGCUCUUAACAUGCAAAAGUCUACAAUACCAAUUAAUACAUGUUGAAAAUUCACACAUAUAAAUAGCAAAAAACCAUACAUCUAUUUAAGCCUAUAAUUUCGACUUCCAUUCUUCUAUCUUUCACAUCCUUGUUUUAUGUGGGCAUUCAACCAAUUUCACAACAGCUUGGCUGUCAUUUUUCACUCUGAACCUUUUUCCUAGCCAAUUAUAUCUCUCAAACCUUUAUAAAUAUUUAAUUAUUUCCCCAAAAAACAAAGUUUCAAAUCUUUUAUCUAUUUUUUGUUUAUAUUUGUCACAGGAGCUACUUAAAACAACAACAACAACAACAACAACAAAGCCUUUUCCCACUAAGUGGGGUCGGCUAUAUGAAUCCUAGAACGCCAUUGCGCUCGGUUUUGUGUCAUGUCCUCCGUUAGAUCCAAGUACUCAAGUCUUUUCUUAGGGUCUCUUCCAAAGUUUUCCUAGGUCUUCCUCUACCCCUUCGGCCCUGAACCUCUGUCCCGUAGUCACAUUUUCGAACCGGAGCGUCAGUAGGCCUUCUUUGCACAUGUCCAAACCACCGGAACCGAUUUUCUCUCAUAUUUCCUUCAAUUUGGCUACUCCUACUUUACCUCGGAUAUCCUCAUUCCCAAUCUUAUCCUUUCUCGUGUGCCCAUACAUCCCACGAAGCAUCCUCAUCUCCGCUACACCCAUUUUGUGUACGUUGAUGCUUCACCGCCUAACAUUCUGUGCCAUACAACAUUGUUGGCCUUAUUGCCGUCCUAUAAAAUUUUCCCUUGAGCUUCAGUGGCCUACGACGGUCACACAACACGCCGGAUGCACUCUUACACUUCAUCCAUCCAGCUUGUAUUCUAUGGUUGAGAUCUCCAUCUAAUUCUCCGUUCUCUUGCAAGAUAGAUCCUAGGUAGCGAAAACGGUCACUUUUUGUGAUCUUCGCUAGAUUGCUCCGGUCAUUAGUGUGGAUAAGUAUUUAAAUAGAUAGAGAUAGGAAAGCAAACACAAGAUGUACGUGGUUCACCCAGAUUGGCUACUUCCACGGAAUAGAGGAGUUCUCAUUAAUUGUGAAGGGUUUACACAAGUACAUAGGUUCAAGCUCUCCUUUAGUGAGUACAAGUGAAUGAUUUAGUACAAAUGACAUUAUGAAAUAUUGUGGGAGAAUGAUCUCGUAGCCACGAAACUUCUAAGUACCGGAGUGUGGUAUCGUCUUGACUUGCCUUAUCUGUCUCAUAGGUAGAUGUGGCAUCUUCUCUGGAAGUACUCUUCCUCCAUCCAGGGGUGGUAUCUGUAACUGGUGGAGAUGCACAAGGUAAUGUAUCAAUUUCACUUGAAGCUUACUUGUAGUUUCAUGCUUGGUCAAGCGCGAUACAAACCAUGUAGUAGGAGUCCCCCAAGUCGCCGAGUUAGGGGAUCUGCUGAAAGAGGUGACAGACAAGGUAAGCAAUCAGAGCUCCGGCUGAUUGUUCACAUUCUCCCUAUCUUGCAGGCAGCAUGAAGGAUAAAGAGAAGAAAAAUGAGGAGAGAUGAUAUAGGAUACUUUUGCUUUUGAAGAAGUAACUUUCCACAGGCUUAUUCUUGAACUGGGCUGGAGGGUUUUCUGGUUUCCUCCAGAGUAUAAGGCCGACUGAAGAAUUUGAGGGUCAAAAUAAGUCCAUCAAAUCUAGAGUACGUUCGACCCUGCUGAUAUGGGAUACUUUUGCUUUUGACAGAGUAGUGGAUGUAUCGGUACGUGUGCUGUUACGCUUGUCUCCAAAUGCUUCCUUGUAUCCUUCUCACUUGCCCUAUCUGUUCCUCAAGCAGAUGCGGUAUCUUCCCUGGAAGCAUAAGAUGUUGAAGAUGAGUACUCGAGAGCAAUGCCAGGUAAGUAAUCAGGUAAGGGGUUCCAGGCAGUCAGUUCCUGGCUGGAAGCUUGAUUCCAAGUGCUGACUGAUUGCUCUCUUUCUCCUUGUCUUGCAGGUAAGAACAAGGCCAAAGGAAAAGACAGGGAAAAAGCAUGAUAUGGGAUACUCUUGCUUUUAACCCUGAUGAUAUGAGAUAUUCUUGCUCUAGUAUAGCUUGUUUACAGAGGUAUUAUCGGGGGGAAAGAAAGCUGAAAAUUUCGAAAGGCUUCGUUGGGAGUGCCCUCUCAGAUAAGAGAAAGGGUUGAGCAUUUUUGCAGGUCUGCCUGUCCGUUAGGGAUGGAGGUCGACAUAUAUAGGAGUCUCCCUAACAUCAAGUAAUAAUGCUAUUCCUUUGCCCUGCUUGGUUAUAGCACGGUAGUGGGAGCUGCCAGCUUCACACGUUUUAACUCUGUCAGAGCACUUUGAAAAAGUGGUCUGUGGUAUCUGGAAAGCUGAUGUUGCGUGUGAAGAUUACAGACAAGCUUUAUCCAAAGAGAUCCAGCUCUUGAAGUUGGGAAAGUGGUGCCUCUUCGGUUUUCGAACAAGCAAUCCUGUCGGGGAUUUGGCUCUCGAGAUUCGGAGAACGAUGCCUCUUCGAUUUUUGAGAAAGCAAUCCUGCUGGGGGUCUGGCUCUCGAGAUUCGGAGAGCGUUGUCUCUUCGAUUUUUUAGAAAGUAAUCAUGUUGGGAGUCUGGCUCUCGAGAUUCGGAGGACGGUGCCUCUUCGAUUUUGGAGCAAGCAAUCUUGUUGGGAGUGUUUUCUCGAAUGUGAGUAAAGGUUGGGCAUGUUUGCUAGUCUACCUUGCCACGAAGCACAGAGGUUGACACACAGGGACUUUCCAAUUAUCCAGCAGUGGUACUGUUCCUUUACCCUCUCUUCGAUUUUUGAGAAAGUAAUCAUGUUGGGAGUCUGGCUCUUGAGAUUCGGAAGGCGGUGCCUCUUCGAUUUUGGAGCAAGCAAUCUUGUUGGGAGUGUUUUCUCGAAUGUGAGUAAAGGUUGGGCAUGUUUGCUAGUCUACCUUGCCACGAAGCACAAAGGUUGACACACAGGGACUUUCCAAUUAUCCAGCAGUGGUACUGUUCCUUUACCCUCUCUUCGAUUUUUGAGAAAGUAAUCAUGUUGGGAGUCUGGCUCUCGAGAUUCGGAGGGCGGUGCCUCUUCGAUUUUGGAGCAAGCAAUCUUGUUGGGAGUGUUUUCUCGAAUGUGAGUAAAGGUUAGGCAUGUUUGCUAGUCUACCUUGCCACGAAGCACAGAGGUUGACACACCGGGACUUUCCAAUUAUCCAGCAGUGGUACUGUUUUUUUACCCUUGUGGGUAAUAAUAUGGUAGCUAGACCUUCAAAAUUUAUGUGUCUAAACUUUGUUAGUGUUGUUUCUUUGCAAUUCUUUUACCCUUCUUGGUCAGAGCGAUGUAGUGGGAGCUGCAAGCUUCACGUGUCUCAACUUUGUCAGAGAACUUUGGCAAAGUUAUCUGUGGUACCCAUGAGCUACUGUUGCGUGUGGGAAGUGGGUGAUUGAACAGUACGAUUCAUGUGCUUUCUCUUCGCCAGAAAUCUUCGACAUAAUGCCCAUAAUUUCCGCAAAGCUGAGUGUGCGUGUGACAGGUGCUGACAAGGCUGGAAAAGUAGGUGCCUCUUCGAUUUCUGAGAUCGGCCCUCGUGGUCUCUGAGCAGCCCAGCUUUUGAGAAAGCAAGCCUCUUCGAUUUCUGAGAUCGGCCUUCGUGGUCUUUGAGCAGCCCAACUUUUGAGAAAGCAAACGCCUCUUCGAUUUCUGAGAUCGACCCUCGUGGUCUCUGAACAGCCCAGCUUUUGAGAAAGCAAACGCCUCUUCGAUUUCUGAGCAGGCGCCUCUUCGAUUUCCGAAGCUUCGUCGAGUGCAGAUUUUUAUAGAGACUGACAUUAAGUUCCAAAGCACACUUGAAUAUCCACCAGUAGAAGCUUAAUUCUUGCACUUCUAAGAUCUUGAUUUGUCUGACCUCUUCUCUCUUCAACCCUUUGAAAAUGUCUGGCCCAUCCGACCGUCGUUUUGACUUGAACCUUGUUGAAGAGGCAGCCCCGCCUUCUCCAGACAACAUAUGGCGCCCAUCCUUCGUCUCCCCUACUGGUCCUCUUACCGUUGGGGAUUCCGUGAUGAAGAAUGAUAUGACCGCUGCGGUAGUGGCCAGGAACCUUCUCACUCCCAAAGAUAACAGACUACUUUCCAAACGGUCUGAUGAGUUGGCUGUUAAGGAUUCUCUGGCUCUCAGUGUUCAGUGUGCAGGUUCUGUGUCUAAUAUGGCCCAACGCCUAUUUGCUCGAACCCGCCAAGUUGAAUCAUUGGCGGCUGAAGUGAUGAGUCUCAAACAGGAGAUUAGAGGGCUCAAGCAUGAGAAUAAACAGUUGCACCGGCUCGCACAUGACUAUGCUACAAACAUGAAGAGGAAGCUUGACCAGAUGAAGGAAUCUGAUGGUCAGGUUUUACUUGAUCAUCAGAGAUUUGUGGGUUUGUUCCAAAGGCAUUUAUUGCCUUCGUCUUCUGGGGCUGUACCGCGUAAUGAAUCUCCAAAUGAUCAACCUCUGAUGCCUCCUCCUUCUAGGGUUUUGUCCAGUACUGAGGCUCCGAAUGAUCCCCCUCCGGUGCCUUCUCUUUCUGGGGCUCUACCGACUGCUGAGACUUCUCCUAAGCAACCUUUGUGAAGGCUCCCUCUUGUUGUUUUAUUUUGACUCAAGUAUAUGUACAUAUUUGUAACUUAUCGGGGAUAUCAAUAAAUAAGCUUUCCUUCAUUUCAACGUAUUGUGUUAAAUACACCAAAGCCUUCUUCGCUAAGUUCUUUGAAUUUUCUUUUGUUGAAGCUUGUAUGUUGAAGCUUUGUGAGUGGAGCAUAUAGGUUGAGAUAGUGUUCCCUUAAUUUCCCGAGUGAGGAAAACUUCUCGGUUGGAGACUUGGAAAAUCCAAGUCACUGAGUGGGAUCGGCUAUAUGAAUCUUAGAACGCCAUUGUGUUCUGUCCUGUGUCAUGUCCUCCGUUAGAUCCAAGUACUCUAAGUCUUUUCUUAGGGUCUCUUCCAAAGUUUUCCUAGGUCUUCCUCUGCCCCUUCGGCCCUGAACCUCUGUCCCAUAGUCACAUCUUCUAAUCGGAGCGUCAGUAGGCCUUCUUUGCACAUGUCCAAACCACCGUAACCGAUUUUCUCUCAUCUUUCCUUCAAUUUCGGCUACUCCUACUUUACCCCGGAUAUCCUCAUUCCUAAUCUUAUCCUUUCUCGUGUGCCCACACAUCCAACGAAGCAUCCUCAUCUCCGCUACACCCAUUUUGUGUACGUGUUGAUGCUUCACCGCCCAACAUUUUUGUGCCAUACAGCAUCGCCGGCCUUAUUGCCGUCCUAUAAAAUUUUCCCUUGAGCUUCAGUGGCAUACGGCGGUCACACAACACGCCGGAUGCACUCUUCCACUUCAUCCAUCCAGCUUGUAUUCUAUGGUUGAGAUCUCCAUCUAAUUCUCCGUUCUUUUGCAAGAUAGAUCCUAGGUAGCGAAAACGGUCGCUCUUUGGUAUUUCUUGAUCUCCGAUCCUCACCCCUAACUCGUUUUGGCCUCCAUUUGCACUGAACUUGCACUCCAUAUAUUCUGUCUUUGAUCGGCUUAGGUGAAGACCUUUAGAUUCCAACACUUCUCUCCAAAGGUUAAGCUUUGCAUUUACCCCUUCCUGAGUUUCAUCUAUCAACACUAGGUCGUCUGCGAAAAGCAUACACCAAGGAAUAUCACCUUGAAUAUGUCCUGUUAACUCAUCCAUUACCAACGCAAAAAGGUAAGGACUUAAGGAUGAGCCUUGAUGUAAUCCUACAGUUAUGGGAAAGCUUUCGGUUUGUCCUUCAUGAGUUCUUACGGCAGUCUUUGCUCCUUCAUACAUAUCCUGUAUAGCUUGGAUAUAUGCUACUCGUACUCCUUUCUUCUCUAAAAUCCUCCAAAGAAUGUCUCUUUGGACCCUAUCAUACGCUUUUUCCAAAUCUAUAAAGACCAUGUGUAAAUCCUUUUUCCCAUCUCUAUAUCUUUCCAUCAAUCUUCGUAAGAGAUAGAUUGCCUCCAUGGUUGAGCGCCCUGGCAUGAACCCGAAUUGGUUGUCCGAAACCCGUGUCUCUUGCCUCAAUCUAUGCUCAAUGACUCUCUCCCAAAGCUUCAUUGUAUGACUCAUUAGCUUAAUACCCCUAUAGUUCAUGCAAUUUUGUACAUCGCCCUUAUUCUUGUAGAUAGGCACUAAAGUGCUCAUUCGCCACUCAUUCGGCAUCUUCUUCGUUUUCAAAAUCCUAUUGAAAAGGUCAGUGAGCCAUGUUAUACCUGUCUCUCCCAAAACUUUCCACACUUCGAUUGGUAUAUCGUCUGGGCCUACUGCUUUUCUAUGCUUCAUCUUCUUCAAAGCUACACCCACUUCUUCCUUCCGGAUUCUACGAUAAAAAGAGUAGUUUCUACACUCUUCUGAGUUAUCAACUCCCCUAAAGAAGCACUCCUUUCAUGUCCUUCAUUGAAAAGAUUAUGAAAAUAACCUUUCCAUCUGUCUUUAACCGCGUUCUCUGUAGCAAGAACCUUUCCAUCCUCAUCCUUGAUGCACCUCACUUGGUUUAGGUCCCUUGUCUUUUUUUUCCCUUGCUCUAGCUAGUUUAUAGAUAUCCAACUCUCCUUCUUUGGUAUCUAGUCGCUUAUACAUAUCGUCAUAAGCCGCUAACUUAGCUUCUCUCACAGCUUUCUUCGCCUCUUGCUUCGCUUUUCUAUACCUUUCACCAUUUUCAUCGGUCCUAUCCUUGUAUAAGGCUUUACAACAUUCCUUCUUAGCCUUCACCUUUGCUUGUACCUCCUCAUUCCACCACCAAGAUUCCUUUUGGUGUGGGGCAAAGCCCUUGGACUCUCCUAAUACCUCUUUUGCUACUUUUCGGAUACAACUAGCCAUGGAAUCCCACAUUUGGUUAGCUUCCCCCUCUCUAUCCCACACACACUGGGUGAUUACUUUCUCUUUGAAAAUGACUUGUUUUUCUUCUUUUAGAUUCCACCAUCUAGUCCUUGGGCACUUCCAAGUCUUGUUCUUUUUUCUCACUCUUUUGAUAUGUACAUCCAUCACCAACAAGCGAUGUUGAUUAGCCACGCUCUCUCCUGGUAUAACUUUGCAAUCCUUACAAGUUAUACGAUCCCCUUUCCUCAUUAGAAGAAAAUCUAUUUGUGUUUUUGACGACCCACUCUUGUAGGUGAUCACAUGUUCUUCUUCUCUCUUCUUAAAGAAGGUGUUGGCUAAGAAGAGAUCAUAUGCCAUUGCAAAAUCCAAGAUAGCUUCCCCAUCCUCGUUUCUCUCCCCAAAACCAUGGCCACCAUGAAAACCUCCAUAGUUGCCUGUCUCCCUGCCCACGUGUCCAUUUAAAUCUCCUCCUAUAAAUAACUUCUCCGUCUGAGCAAUUCCUUGCACCAAGUCUCCAAGGUCUUCCCAAAAUUUCUCCUUCGAACUCGUAUCCAACCCUACUUGAGGUGCGUACGCACUAAUCACAUUGAUAAGUUCUUGUCCUAUUACAAUCUUGAUUGCCAUGAUUCUAUCUCCUAUCCUCUUGACAUCUACAACAUCUUGUGUCAAGGUCUUGUCCACGAUGAUGCCAACACCGUUUCUCGUUCUAUUUGUGCCCGAAUACCAUAGUUUAAACCCUGAGUUUUCUAGAUCCUUUGCCUUACGACCAACCCACUUAGUUUCUUGUAGGCACAUAAUAUUUAUCCUUCUCCUCACCAUAACUUCUACUACUUCCAUAGAUUUUCCCGUCAAGGUUCCUAUAUUCCACGUUCCUAAACGCAUUUUGCUCUCUUGAACUCUACCCUUCUGUCCUAGCUUCUUCACCCUUCCCCGUCUAAUAGGAUCAAAGUACUUCUUUUGUAUGUCCCGUGUAAAGUUGAUAGGAGCAUAUGCUCCCAAACAACUUUGAGUGGAGUCGUUCGAAAAGAAGUUUCUAUAGCCCCCUUGCUCAUUUAACACUGCAUCCGGGUGCCGAUGGAGAUACAGCGACCCUUGCUCACUUAUCACUGUGCUCAGGCCACACAGCGCGCCACUUACGGGUGACGCCCUAGCUUUAGCGCGAUUUCGUUCUGGAUUCAUUUUCAUAAGGAUUCGACGUGAUCAUGGAGUGCCGGCUGUCGACUACCUGACGCCCUCCCCCUCCUCUUUUAUCCGGGCUUGGGACCGGCAAUGUAAGAUAAACUUACACGGCGGAGUUACUUACACGGCGGAGUUCACAGGAGCUACUUAAAAGGGUGAAAAAAAUCUUGCGCAUUAAGAUGAGUCGUUGCUAUAUAGAGUUCAAUAAAUCAGACAUGCUCGAGGACGAACAAAGUUCACGUGUAGUGAGUUUUACUGGCGCAAAAGUCGUGUUACCCUCAACUGAAGGGAGAAUUCAAAUCACAUGGCAAACAGUUUAACUAAUUUGGACAAAAUUUUGAAUAAUCUGACGAUGGAGGAGUAAUAGAUUAUUUAUAAAAGUUUAAUUAUAAGAUAAUUAACUAAAAUAAAAUUAAUAUUGUAGUACAAAUUCGAUUAGUUAAUCGGUAUGAGCUUUUUAUAUUUUCAAAAAAAAAAAUGCUGAAGAUACCACAUUCACAUCACUGUUUUCACAAGUUUGGAAGAGACCAAUCCUACCUUUAAUAAAUGGAAUGAUUAGUAAUGAAAGUUGAGGUUUGUUAUAAAAUUAAUUGAUAAUAUAAGAGUAUACUAAUUAUUUAUAAAUACAUACAAGGUUUAUUCUUUUUUUGAUAUGGGAUUCACUCUUAACAUGUUCUAUCACAUGUGGCGAUUUUCAAACCUAACACAUGAACAAUACAAACGAGGUGAAAUGAAGCAUGUGUUGCCGUGGUACUUUGCACGUGAGAUAAUUUGUGCUAUUACCACAAAAAAAAAAUUAAAAUUCCAUUAUAAAAUUAAUUGAUAACAUAAAGGACAAUUUACUUAUUCAUAAGAACAUGUAAAAUUCAUUCUUAUCCGAUAUUGCGAUUCACUCCCGUAUAUCAAUCAAACAAUUGUAUCACGGAUCGACUUUUGUGAUAAUAAGACAAAAUUUACAGUGCAUUCCUGACUUUACAUUUUUCAAAUAAUUUUGCACCCACGAAGAAAAAGCAAAGAACCAGUCAUCCUUUCACAAGACUCAUCACAUGCAGCCCCUGUGAGAAGCCGACACCACCUCUGACGUUUGUUGUGUCAGGAAGAAAUUUACUAAAAUAUGGUUGUAAUUUAAAGAUCCAGAGAAAAAUGAGACUAUUUUUUUUUUCUGAAAUAAUAAGAGUAUAAAGAACUCGAAGAAAAGGAGAAACUGAAAUAUAGCCUCUAGGUCAUCCAUCUGGCCAUGGAGGGGAAUAAUCAAGUGAGUAACGUGACCGCAGGGCCAAGCAGCAGCAACAACGAAGCAAGACUGGCUAUACUGGAGCUGGCCAACAUGAUUAGCGUCCCCAUGUCUCUAAACGCCGUUGUUCGACUUAACGUCCCCGACGCCAUCUGGCAGGGCGGUUGCAACACUCCUCUC
This 66723-nucleotide long non-coding RNA is filed under the name Malus domestica (apple). RNAcentral's name for it is "long non-coding RNA (MDOM_LNC011348)". Lineage: Eukaryota; Viridiplantae; Streptophyta; Magnoliopsida; Rosales; Rosaceae. The record is from RNAcentral.